CUCCAUUAUGUGAAUGAAAUUUCAAACAAAGCAAAAAUCUGUGCAAAUGGCAAAAACUUGCAUUACAUAUGAGAAAAAAAUCGAGUAACAAAAUAUCAUCGACACACAAACAUUGAACGAAGAAAUCCUAAAAUAGAAUCAAAUUAGAACAUAGAUUUGAAAGAUAAAUAUCACAUUACUGAGUGAUGAGGUAAUUCCUGAAGUGAUGCAGUGAUGAAGAUUUCUAUCUUUUGUAUAAAGGAGACAUAUACAUCUUUAAGAAAGUCCAACAAUGUAUCUAAGAAUUUAUAUUGUUGACUUAAACAUAAAUUUUCUAGUACAAUUUGCAAGGAGUUUUACAUAUUUGACAAAACUUCAAAAAUUGUAUGACCAGCUAAAUAAACGAUUCCCUUUUUUGCAAUGAGUUUCGCCAUUAAUGAUAACCGAUGUUUCUUUUUAUCAUUAGGCUCAUCGUUUUCAUCUUCAAAAUAAUGGGAUCAAACACACUUGAAAGUAAGUUCGUAUAAUACUCAAAAUCAUGUUGUUCUACAAUCACAUUGUCGUCAAGCCACAGUAAGACCGAAUCAAUUGUGUUAUCGAUCACUUCCUUGUCUUCUAACGAAAGCUUCAUCAUAAUCUCCUUAUCGUUUAUGGCAUUCCUCAUGUUAUAUGCACACUUCUCCAAUGCAUUUCUUGUUUCUACCUUCUUCCUAUACAUCUUGUCUUCAUCCUUGUACUUCUCAGCUUCUUCGAUCAUCCUCUCAAUCUCUUCUUUUGACAGCCUUCCCUUGUCAUUUCUUAUUGUCACAUUCUUUUUUACUCCGAGAAAUUUUUCGGUGGCAGAGACAUGCAAGAUGCCGUCAUUAUCAAUUUGGAAACUGACCAUGAUUUGAGGUAUACCUGCCGGAGCUGGGGGAAUUUCCAAAACAAAUUUUCCUAGCAAGUUGUUCCCCAUAGUUAUUUUUCUUUCACCCUCGUAAACAUGAAUCAAAAUAUUGGUUUGGUUAUGAAGAUGUGUUGUGAAUACUUGUUCCAUGCUGGUAGGAAUUAAGGUAUUCCUAGGAAUCAUUGUUGACAUGAUUCCCCCAUGUUUCUCCAAUCCAAGGGAUAAAGGAAUGACCUCCCUCGAUCGCAAAACGCUAACCUUUUCACUAAAAUCACCAUUCAAUAUUGAUGCAUGGACAGCAGCACCACAUGCAAUAGCUUCAUCUGCAUUUAUGCUUUUGCAUAACUCCUUUCCUUCAAAGAAAUCACUCAAUAUUUGUUGUACUUUUACAAUCCUCGUAGACCCGCCAACAAGGACAACAUCAUGAAUACUACUCUUGUCCAACCCGCUAUCUAUUAGACACUUUUCCGCAAUCUCCAUACACUUGUUGAAGUGAUUAUUGUUGACUUCUUCAAACUUUGCUCGACUAAUCGGUGAGAAGAAAUCUAUCCCUUGAUGCAAACAUUCUAUCUCAAUUGUGGUCUCAGUAUUACUGGAAAGUAUCCUCUUUGCUUUCUCACAUGCAGACUUCAACCGUCUAAGGGCUUUUCGAUCUCCACUAAUGUCAAUUUUAUGCUUCCUCAAGAACUCUUUCACGAAAUGGUUCACCAUUGUGUUAUCAAAGUCUUGUCCCCCGAGGUGAGUAUCUCCAGCAGUGGCUUUAGUGGUGAUUCCAUUCUUAUCGAAUGUGAGAAUAGACACAUCCAAUGUACCACCUCCUAAAUCAAAAACAAAAACAUGUUUAUGGUCAUGAUUAAACGGUUUCUUGUCAAGACCAUAUGCAAUUGCAGCUGCUGUAGGCUCGUUGAUUAUUCGCAUAACGUUGAGACCUGCAAUAACACCUGCAUCUCUAGUAGCUUGGCGUUGCGAGUCAUUAAAGUAAGCAGGAACAGUUAUAACGACAUCCUUCACUGUUGAUCCAAGGUAAACUUCUGCAAUCUCACGAAUUUUUGUCAAUACCAUUGAUGAUAUUUCCUCAGCAGCAAAAUGUUUUUCCUCUCCAUUGUAAUUGACAACAAUAUUGGGUUUGUCAUUUAUGCCACCAAUUACUUUAAAUGGCCACAAUUUCAUAUCACUCUGAACUAUAGGGUCACUAAAUUCUCUACCAAUGAGCCUCUUCGCAUCUACAAAAUCACGAAAAAUAACAGAAAACAAUCAAGAGUUAUAUGAACUGUCUGGAAAAAAUUAUGAUAAAUAACAAAACAAUCACCAUAUUUUUUUAAAAAAUUAGGUCAAAUGCAUCUAAAGAUCUUUAAAUUUUUCGUUUUUCCCAAAGUCAUCCUUUAAGUUUCAAAAGUCCUAAAGUGGUCCUGUAAGUUUCAAAAGUCCCAAAUAAGUCCUUUUAAUUUUUUAAUCGUUUCAAACAAGUCAUUUUAGAGGAUGAUGGUGAUGAUUCAGAUGAUAGCAACAAAGAGCAUUAUCCAUCAUUUGUUAUGUCUAAAAAGAUGACUAAUUUUAAGUGGGUGUUAGGAGCCAGAUUUGGUACCAAAGAUGAGUUCAAAGGAAGCAAUUACCAUCUAUGCUAUCUACGAUAGGACUUGUUUGAAACGAUUCAAAAACUAAAAGGACUUAUUUAGGACUUUUGAAACUUAAAAGGACCACUUUGGGAAACCUAAAAAAAUAGGACUUUUGAAACCUUAAAAUUAUGAUAAAUUUACAAUCUAAAGAUCUUUAAAUUUUUUUUUUUUUGAAAGAUCUAUAUUAGAUAUGCCUUAAAAAUGUUCUAAAAAUUGUAAGAAUCCACUUUAACUUUUUUGGAGUUCAUAUUCAAGAAAGCCUAAAAGAUGUAGUAAUUAAGUUUAGAAGCAUUUACCAUAAACAGUGUUGGUUGGGUUGCAAGCAGCCAUGUUGAAAGCAGGAUCACCAAUCAUUCUUUGAGAGUCAGUGAAUGCAACAUAAGAAGGUGUUGUUCUAUUCCCUUGGUCGUUCACUAUCAUCUCAACCCUAUCAUUCCUCCACACUGCAGCACAAGAAUAAGUUGUUCCUAAGUCGAUUCCUAUUGCAACUUUCUCACCUUUUCCUGGCAUUUCUUUCUUUGCAAUCACUCACAGGUAACAAAGUUUUGAGAAGGAAAUAUUCAAUGAUGAGAAUAAAUCAUUGUUUGACUUGCUUGGAUAAAUGUAAAGGUUUGUGCAUAUUUAUAAUAUUAUUAGUCUCACUAGCACAAAGAAUGAAUCGUUGGUUGACUUGUAAAAUUUCUUACUUUUGGUCAACAUCGAUAAUAGGGUUAUGCUUUAAAGUAUUUCAACUCUCAAGCUUAAAACACGGAUAAAACACUCAUUUCAAAAGAACUCUAAACAAUCUCUCAACAUUUAAGUGAAUAACAAAAGUUUAGCAUUUUUUUUAGAUAGACGAAAUGACAAAGGUAUCAUAAAUUUACACAUAUAAAGUGGAGACGUCGUUAUAACGUCCGGCCAAACAAUUUCAACACUUUUUGCCUGUUGAACUAUGACGUAUGUGACACAAAAGUUUAAUUUUUUUUUUUUUGGGUUAAGAAAAGUUUAGUAUUCUACUAAUUGAUAAAUGAGAGAUGCUAAAAUUAUUCAAUUAAUAAUACUCGUUCUGUCUCAAAUUAUAAAUUUAAAAAAAAAAUUGUUUUAAAUUAUAAAUUGUUUUACAAUACCAAUAUGACAUUAAUUUAAUUUUUCAAACUAUACUUUAAAGUUUAAACUACUCAUUAAGCUUUCUUAUAUCUAAUCUUUAAUUUAUCUUUUUCAUACUAUUUCUCUGAGGAACAAAUGAGUCUACAAGAAUUAUUGUAUUUAGUUAUAAUAUAGACUAAAUACAUCAACCUUUAUUAAUCUAUUUUUUCUUAUAAAAAGAGCCAAAGAGAGUGUUUAUUAAGGAGAUUAUUGGAAAGUCUUCUAAUUUCUGUUUUAUAUACAAUAUUGAUUGCUUUUUUUUUUUUUUUUUUAUGUUGUAAAUUGGUUGAAACAAUUUAGAAUUUGGGACGAGGGACUAAUUAAACUUACUUUAUAAAGUGAUCAUGAAGACCUUUUCAAAGCAACAAGGAAAUACACUCUCUUUUUUUUCUUGGUGUUUAUACUUUAUACUCAAGUAGUCAAGUUGACACUUACGUCAUUAAAUGUGACUCAGUCAACCAAUAAACAUUUAAUUAAAAAAGUCUGGCCCAGUUGCCUUCAUCCAACAAUUUUUUUUUUAAGAACACAACUUCUUAUUUUUGAAAUAAAAAAAAAUGAAAUUUUUUCUUAGUACAAACAAUCAACCCACACACUGUUCAAUCCAACCCCACACUGCCGGCAGCUUUAUUGCUAUCUCUACCUACUUUUUAUAAAUUGAUUAAACAGUGACCACCGUCUUGUUCAAUGCUCCUUCAGAUACACGAUCAAUGAUCCACUGUUUGAUCAUUUCGUACAUAAAUAUAGUUGGGUUUAAUCGUUAAAAUUAACCAUGCAAUAUACGUGAUAUAUGAAAAAUGGUACAGUAAGAUACACAAUAUGUAUUCAAACAUUGUUAUUUAAUAAGUAGAGUAUCGUAUCCACAGAGAUUGUCCUUUCGUCUGAAUAAUUAUUGUUAAUUAUUUUUGUAAGUUUGACGGUAUAAAAGUUAGGUUGCAAUUUUUAUCUGUUUGCAACAGAGCGAACUUACCUGUUUUUGGUUGCAAAAAAAGUAAGAAGCGGUUAGGAUUCUUCGAAUCCCCUCUGUAUAUUUGUUGUUUGAUAAUAAGUAAUAUAAAUUUCGCGUUUAUUUAUUUUAGGUAGAUUAUAGAAGUGAUGAGAUCAUUGGGAGUUCCUACUUAGGUAAGGCACGACCACCUGACCCAAUGGGCAUCAUCCAUUAGGUACCUAAUUAGGCCUAACCCUCCGAUGGCUAACUGCACCUGCUGAUCGCACGGUGAUCCUUACGUGCGGGGUCUUGUAAUUCAAAGGUAAUUGAAACAUAAACUUUAUAUUGGUUUUCCAGUGUUUCCCAAAGCAAUGAAGGCCAAGGUUCCCUUAGGUCUGUCCAUCUAUGUAUCUUAUGACACUCAUAGCACACGCUCUUUAUACUUUCUUAGUAAUUCUACAAACGAACAACCCUAAUAUAUUAGGUUAUAGCUUUAAGUCGGACAUCUAAGUGCUUGUUUCCCUAAUUACUAACCAUUUAAUUCCUAACUUCGGUAAGGCACCACCCGACCCAAUGGGUAUCAUCCAUUGGAUACCUACGUCUAGGGUCAACAAUUCCUAUGGUAUCUUUGUCAUUUUUAGGUCUUUGUCUUCAAAUAACUUGCCUCGGUACUUUGGAAACAAAAUUCCUCCCAUUUGUAAGUCCUAUGAGACCUCUUGAAUCUUCUUUCUUGUUUCUUGAAUCUUCACAAUUCUUCGGAUGUUCUUGAUGUGCCGAUUUGCAUGAUUUAUUCAUGAAUUACUUCAAAAGCAACCUAAAAUUGCUUUUUUUCGUAAAAAACUAGAAUUUACAGACUCAAAUAUAGAAAACAUUACAAAAGUCUCGAAAUCAUAUGCAAUCAUUCUAAUAAUCCUCCUUUUUGCUACUAAAUCCUACUAAAAUAAACUGAAAAACAUGCUAAGAAUAAUGUAAGAAGACCUAUCAUAAGCGACCACCGUGGGGCAAGGAUCAAACGAUAAUCAAGUACCAUGGGUUCGAAGUGGGAUGCUGAGAAGUUUACCAGAGAUAAUGAUUUUGGGUUAUGGAAGGUAAAGAUGGAACCAGUGUUAAUACAGCAAAAGUGUGAGAAAGCUUUGAAGGGUGAAGGUGUGUUACCGGUCACGAUGUCACAAACGUAAAGACCGAGAUGGUGGACAAGGCUAGGAGUGCCAUUGUCUUGUGCCUCAGGGAUAAAGUUUUGAGAGAUGUAGCAAAGGAAACAACUGCUGCAUCUGUGUGGUCAAAUUACAAAGUGCUUUGGUGGUGUGUUGUUGGUACGAUGAAGAAGGUGAUGUUUCUCACCUUGGGAAUGAUGCCUUAUAGAGCGGUGAUCGUCUAUAGAGACGUUAAACACUCAACAUCAUUCUGGAAAGGCGGUGGGAAGAAUACUCAUGGUUAGUCUGAAGAGGCGGAUGUAAGAAUACUCAUGUUCAACCUUUGAGGUGGAGUUUCAAGGUGAAAGUCAUAGUGGAUGUACGCGUUUGCUAGUUCAGGUAGAGAAAACUCAGCUUGUGGUGGAGUUGAUGACAUCGGGAAUGGUACGACGAUGGAGACCUUGGGUGCUAGGCUCUAGUUGUGAGCAAGAGAAUUCUUCAAGAAGAAGGAAUGCAUUCUAGAGUUUAAAGAAUGUAUGGAAUGACUUAUAGGAUUACCAGAAAAGACCAAGGGUAAUUGGAAGUAAGUGAAUCAUCAAGAAGGCGGAAGGCUUUCCGAUGGUUGAAGUGGUUAUGGUGUAGACUUGUGGAACUACCUAAAAUUCCUAGUGUAGUUGGAUGCAAGGAUGGUCUUCAUGAAGGCGGAAGGCAUUCCGAUGGUUGAAGAGGUUGUGGUGUAGACNAAGGCGGAAGGCAUUCCGAUGGUUGAAGAGGUUGUGGUGUAGACUUCUGGAACUACCUAAAAUUCCUAGUGUAGUUGGAUGCAAGGAUGGUCUUCAAGAACGCCGAAGGCAUUCCAAUGGUUGAAGAGAUUGAGUGGAAGCUUGUGGAGCUACAUGGUGUAGUUGGAAGCAAGGGAAGGUGAAGCAUGGAGAGAGCAACAAGGUGGUUGAUGGUUAAAUUGACAUCAUCACAAAUUUAGAGUUAAGGUGGAGAAUGUUGUAGAAGUGACUCAAAAUUGAAUUUCUACUUGUGCAAAAUCGGCGCCCGAUAUCUCGCUUUAGCAUAAAAAUAAAAUAUAUUUUUAUGGGCUGGAUUUGUUCUAAUUUUAUGCGGGAUACUUUUACUAUAGAUAUAAAUCUUGUAUCAGAGUAAACCUGGAGAAGUAGAGAGCCAGAAAACAAGGGUUUAGAAGCCAACACUAAAACUAGGGUUUUUAGAGUUUACUCUUGACAACAAACUUUAGGGUUGCGACUUGAGAUUGAUUCACCUUGGAGAAACACUAUUAGGAUUGAGUCACUUGGUCACGGGAAGAGAUGGGGACUUUAGGUAGAAUUAUGUUUGAAGACUAAUUAUUGUAACCUCUUUUGAUAUCUCUUUGUAAAGUUACUCGUCAUUAUAUGUUCUCUCAAUUUCAUAAAGAAUACAAAUUACAAAUAAAUCACAUAUGCAAUAAUCUCAUAUCAUUAUUUAAAUCACGUAUAUUAUAAUUUAAGAAACAAAAACCUUGGAGGUUGGGAAACUUUAUUAUGGGCCUCACGCACAAUCCAAUGCGACUAGUACCUUGAGCAACCUCUAAACCGUUAUGCAUAAUCAGUUACGGGUAAAAAGUUAUAGGCUAUCAACUACAUGUAUAUCUGUAAAUGUUAAAUUUUUUGAAAGCAAUAACACAUCAAUUUUUCAUUCUAAACCUUUAUCACAUUCUAUCCAUUCUAAAAUCCUAAUUCCAAAAAUAAAAUGAUCCAUUAUAGUAUGAAUAUAUUCAUUAGAGUCCUAUAAACCAUUUGGAUCCUAAGCAUUAAAAAUAUUAAACCUAAAUAUUCAAAUCAUACCCCGUGGCGGAUUUACAUAGGAGCCCAUGGCUCCCCCAGAUAUCUAAUAAAUAUUAUAUUAGGCAUAUUUCAAUGGUUUCGCAUGUGUCGUAGCAGAAAUUGAAGGCUUUUUGUAUCGUGAGGCCAUGAGUUCGUGGCUCCUUUUUUGGUUUUAAUAAUGCCGUUUUGAUUUUUAUUCACAAAAAGUGUAUCCCAAGAUUUGAACCAGUAACCUUGUGGCAGUUAUUAUGCACAACAACCAUCUAACCCAGACAACAAUUUCUAUCUACUCAUGAAAACGCUUAUCAUAUAUACAUGAUAUGAAUAUUUGGCUCCCCCUAAAAAAUUGGCAUUGAUCAUACCAGUGGCGGACCACUUGAGGACUGGGGAUGGCCAUGGCCUCCCCAUUAUUUUAUAGAAAUUAUCAAAAUACCCUUAGGUUAAAAUGAAAUUUACAACCAUACCCUUGGGUUAAAAUGAAUUUUACAACCAUGCCAUCCCCACUUUUUCUAAUAUUAACAGAGAAGCAUGCCUAGAAUAUGCAGAAGAAGUGGAGAAACUAGCAGAUAAAUUGAUGGAAGUUUGAGGGAUUUGGUAUAAAUUUUGUUUAUGUUGUUGUGCGAAGGGUUGUCUUUGUUUUUGGUGUUUCCUUUUAUUGAUUUCGAAUAUAGCUCUUUGUUAGAUAGUAUUUCCUUUGAGUUUUUUACAUUUUGUCUUUGCUGCACGAGUGCAUGAGUUUACAAUUGGGUGCUCCAUAUUUACUUUAAAAAAAAAAAAAUUCCCUUUUACAUCCUUAGAGUCAUGAUUAAGUGAUUAGAGGCAAAAUUGAGUAAUAGUUUUUAGAUAUAGGCCGUUAUAGUUAUAAUACAAAAACUUAGGAGUUUAUCCCAUUCUUAGUUUACAGGGUACAACAAAUUAUAAUCAUUGAUGACAAGAUUUAAGAGAGCUUAUAUAUUGUUUAAUUUAUUGAAGAAAUAUUUUAUUUCUUAAUUAAAAAUACAAAUUUAUUGUGUAUAAAAUUUGACCGGCUUCGAUCCUCAAUUUAUGUAUGUACAAAAUUUAAUUUAUGAUUUGAUGAACCUUCACAAUGUCAUUGUUUAUUAAGCAUAAGUGGAAAAGAAACUAAGAAAAAAAUUUACACCUUUUUUCCGUAACUAUCAGACCUUUUAUUCCACUACAAUAGAUAAAUAUGCAAUAUUUGGGAAAAAUUUUAAAUUUUCACACAGUAUAAAAUUACAAGAUCUUAGUAUCUUAAAUUCAUAUAAACAAAUUAUUAUACAAGAUCUUAUAUGUUAAUUUUGGUUGCGGUUAUGGUGCAUAAGGAAUCCAUAAAUGGUUUCCGUGAGUUGUACUCCAAAACCAUUAUAUGUACUUAAUGGUUUCCAGCAUCUUGCAUAAAUCAUAAUAUAUUUUGUAUAAAAUUAUGCAAAAACCAUUUUGUUGUGGAAAUAAUUUCUGUGAGUUGUACUCCAAAACCAUUUCUGAAUUUAUGUAGGUGCAUAAGGAUUUCCUUAUACACCAAAACCGCACCCGUUAAUUUUCACACAGUAUAAAAUUACAAGAUCUUGGUACUUUAAAUUCAUAUAAAACUUGAUUCAACCUUUUUUUUAGUCUAUCAAUAAAGAUUAGCUAGCAUAUACAUAGAGAUACAAAAAAAAUUGUUAACAAAAAUGCAAAUUCUUCUGUAAUAAAAAUUCAUAUCAACAUCUCAUUAUAAAUAAACAACGUUUGUUGCUUCUCUCGUAUAUUGGAAGUUUUCACAGAAGUCUCUCUUUUGGUUUUCUCUUUCGUUGGUGAAGAUCACUAACGAAGAAGCUUGAAGUGAUUUUGGGGAAAUAUUAUUACAUCAUUUUGGUCAAAUAAUAGUUUACAAGUGAAACACAUAAAUAUGGUCUAGAUUAAGCUUUUCUAUUAAUGUUUUUCCAUUUUAUUAAUCUAAUUUAAGCUUAUAGUAAAAAAAAUUGUAUGGGUCUUUAAAUUUCCUAUAGAAAAUCCAUACCACUUUUUGAAAAAUGAUUCAUUCCAGGCAUGCACAGGAGUACCAUAAACUCUAAUCCAGGUGCCCCUUUCAUAUAUAUCAUCCUCAUGCGACCAUUUAUGCAAGUCCGAGAACAACAUACCGAAAAAGUGGAGAGCUUCAUUAAACACUUUCCAUAUAUCAUCACCCCCGGUACAUCAUUCACCCUUUGUUGUAAGGAUAACUAUGAAUCUCCGUUCACCACCUUUAACACCAUACUACCAUUAGCCCACAAGCGAUCCUCCGGUUUUGAAUUAUACAAGAGCAUACCAAGAUUCUCAACAGGUCGCGGAAUAUCACUAUCCUUCACCUUCUCCACCUUCGAAAUCCACACCUGCUUCCUUUCCUCCACCUUCUUCCCUUCCUCCACUCUAUUCUCAUCCUUCUUUCCCACCUCUCCCUCAGCUUCACAUUCCUUUUCUUUUUUAAUUUUUAAUUUUUUCGACUUAUUUUUUUUCUUCCUCUUCCCUACAUGAACAUCCACCGUUGCAAUCCUCUCAAUUUUUUUCUCCUGCCUAUCUCUUUCCUCACCCUCCAUCUUACCCACCCUCACAUUUUUUACACCAUUGCCAUGAGUUAGCACCACCGGUGUAACCACCCCAUCCUUCCCAUCACCACGCCUAGAAACCCUAACCUCCUCAUCAUGUUGCGCGAACCUAUCAAACCUAGCAUUUGGAGCCCAAACUCGAAAAUCACCAAUCGAGAUAUUAUUCAAAGCGUGUUCUAAUUUGUCUCUAUUCUUCACAUACUCAAAUCUAACGAGACCAUAGACCUGACUGCAUGAAUUGAGUUGUCUGGCAAUAUAAACAUCGGACAAAAUACCACAUACCUCGAAAAAUUGCCGUAAACGGAACACUGGCAUAGCUUCUGGAAUAUUAGUAAAGUAAAAUGUAACCUUUGUGCCUUCGUAUCGAUUAUUUACGUCCAAAACAAUACCAUGCUGCACCAGUGCACCGUGCCUGUCAGUUUCCUUAAGUCCUUCUGUGUGUGCAAAUCGACAAUCAUGCCAAACCCUAGAGUACCAUCAUGAAUCCAUUUCGACCUCCCCAUAUGCGAAUCGAAUCUUCAAUGCAGCGCUGAAACCCUUGACCUGUCCCGUCCUCGAUCCUCCGGUUGCGUCGCUUUCCUCUUCCUAGACCUAACUACAGACCAAUCACUCCUAUCCCCCCAAUAUUUGCCACCCAGGCUGGACCCCUAUCCCCCCAAUGUAUCUCUCCUCUGGAGAUAAGCUCCGGCGCAGUUGCCACGGAACAAACGUAGGCCGGCCACCACGAAAGCUCACGUCGCUCUCUCUCAUUUGUUUUUUCCUUUAUCAUGUUCUUAGUUUAGAGGGUAUAAAAAAAUUCAGUAGGAAAGGUACAACAUGAAAUAUCAAAAUCAUUGAUGACAAGAUUUAAGAGAACUUAUAUAUUUUUAAUUUAUUAAAGAAAGAUUUUAUUUCUCAUUUAAACAUUUCAAUUUAUAUAGCAUAAAAUUAACUUAGGAUCUAAUUAUUGUGUACAAAAUCUGACCGGCUUCGAUUCUCAAUUUAUGCAUGUACAAAAUUUUACUUAUGAUUUUAACAAAGUUGUUUGGGCCUCAGUGACAAGAAGCUCAUUCCAAGGACAUACCCGGGAAAUACCGAGUUCGAUUCGCAGUGGAAACAACGUUUGACCAGUGCGCAUGCCUCUACGCAUGAGUCAGAUUAGUUGUCCAACUUUGGUGGGUCGGAGACCGGUGCGAAAACCAAAAAAAAAAAAUUAAUUUAUGAUUUUACGAACCUUCACAGUGUCGUUGUUUAUUAAGCAUAAGCGGAAAAGAAACAAAGAAAUUUUUGUACACCUUUUUUCCACUGACAAUGAAUAAAUAUGCUAUAAUGAGUUAUUAAAAAUAAUCAGGCAAAGAUUAUAAUUUUCACACAAUAUAAAAUUACAAGAUCUUAGUAUCUUAAAUUCAUAUAAACAAAUUAUUACAUUGAAGAGCUUUAAAUUCAUAUAUAAAACAUCAUUCAACCUUUUUUCAGUCUAUCAAUAAAGAUUAGCUAGCAUAUACAUAGAGAUACAAAGUUUUUUGUAAACAAAAAUGCAAAUUCUUCCUUCAUUAAUGAAUAUAUACAUUGUAAGUUUUCACACAAGUCUCUCUUUUGGUUUUCUCAUGACUAUAUUGAAUAAGAGACCUAAUGUGAAGAUCACCAACGAAGAAGCCUAAGGAGAUCAUUUCUUCUCAUUCGACUCAAAGUGAUUAGCGAAACUUAAAUUGUAUAUGCUGAACUAUUUCAUCUUGGUGGUCGAUCAUUGGGAUCUAAUGAAAAUCACCAAAUAUUGCUUAGUUACCCUUUGCCUCGACUUAGACUUCACAAAUAUUAGAAAUGCAAUAGCUCUUUCUUUUGCCAUUAAGUCUUGCCAUCAACUAAAGAAUCUACAAAUUUAUAGAAAUAUUACAAGGAUAUGUUAUAUAUAUACCUGACAUCUAUGUAAAUGUGAAUUUACUGGUCCAAAAUUCAGACUUACAAUAUAAUAUUUAAUCAAAAAAAUCACACUUGUUUAAAGAUUUACGGUACUUAUUGCUUUGAUAAACAAUUGAGAAAAAUAUAACAAAGAAGGAAAACAAAUAUAUGUUUUCACCAAAGAUUAAUUGAUGUUGAUUUUGAUGAUAAAAUUAGUAUCAUUUACUAAAUCACCCUUAUUAAUUAUAGUUAGUGAAGUAGUUAAGUUGGAUGAAGUUCAAUAAAUAAGGGUAUUAUAAUGAAAAAAAUAAUAAAUGCUGCAUUGGUAGUCUAAAGUGACAAUUUUUUUGAGAAAAAGAAAAAUGGGUAAAAAGACAAUUAUUGUGAGAUGGAGGGAGUAUUAUUUUGGGCAAAUCUUAUUUAUAAAAGGUCUUAAGUUGUCUUAAACAGCUUUUUGGAGCCAAAAUUUGAGGUUAAUUUUGUCAUUUUAAUAUUGACGUCUCAUUAUUAUUAUUAUUUAAUAUAUAUUUAAGCAAUUGAACAAACUUUUGCUAAAUUUAAUAUUGACAUCUCAUUAUUAUUAUUAUUAUUAUUUAACAUAUAUUUAAGCAAUUGAACAAACAUUUGCUAACUUUGUGCCAUAAACUACUAAAUACGUUUUUUUUUCUUCCAUAAUCUUAGUUUGUUAUUUGGUAGUGCUAUUUUCUCUAUUUAUUUGGCAAUAUAAACACCGAUCCCCAUAUGUUUUUUUUUUUUGUUUUUGUUAACUAUGUUUUUCUAAACAAACUUUUGCAAAAAAAAAAAUUCUCAUUAAAUUUAUACCACUAAAGAAAAGAAAAAAUCUCAUCUAACGUUUGUCUUUGGUAACUAACUCUGUCUACAUAUGUGCCACUUUAUGCCAAACUAAUCAUCUCUCAACUCUCUAAAUAAGUAACAUCAAAUAGUAUUUAUAAGUCACUUCAUCCUUCAUCCUUCGAUUAAAUCAUCUUACUUCAAAUUAAUCGUACGUCCUAUUUUUUUGAUUAAACCAAGUUGCUUAUAAAUCCCAACAUUGAAGAAUGUUGCACCUACAAGAAAGGGUAUGCACUAACCUAUCGUUAUUACACAUAUAUUAUAUAUUGAUAAUUAUUGGAAUUUUGGGAUAGAAUGGAAACUGGCAAUGCAUCUUUGACCUAAGGGGUCACCCAAAUGACAUCACAAUCUUCACUUUCUCUUCAUAAUAAUCUUAGUUUGUUUUCCAUUAAUUGUUUGGAUACAACUAUAUAAAAUGAAUUAUCUUAUUUAUAAUUGCUUCAAUAUUUUGAUUCUUAUUUUGGGAAAAAAUUUUAGAUUCUUAUUUUGGGAAAUUUUUUUAGAUUCUAUUUUUUGUUACAAAUUGUAACAUAGAUUCUAUUUUUUGUUACAAAUUGUAACAAUUGGAUGCACACUUUUAAAAUUGAUUUUUUUUUUACUUCUUAAAAAGUCUAUAACAAAUAGACUCAUCAAAAUAGAAUCUAACCUUUUUUUUUUUCUCUUCAUAAUAAUCUUAGUUUGAUUUCCACUAACUUUCCUAAUUUGUUGACCUACCCUCAUCUAUUGUUUGUUUUUGUUAAGUAACUUUUCCUAGAUAUGUGGCACUUUAUGCCAAACUAAUCCACUCUCUCUCUCUCUCUCUCUCUCUCUAUAUAUAUAAGUGGUCGUCUUGGGUGGUGAUUUCAGGCAAAUUCUUCCGGUCAUUCCAAGAGCACCAAGACAUGAUGUUGUUGAUGCUAUCAUUAAUUCAUCGCGCCUUUGUAAACAUUGUCGAGUCUUAAAAUUGACCAAAAUCAUGAGGCUUCAAAUUGGAUCUUCAUGUUCUGAUGUCAAUGAACUCAAAGAGUUCUCUGACUGGAUUUUAAAUGUUGGAGAUGGAAAUAUUGAAGACAACAAUGAUGGUGAAGCUGAAAUUGAAAUACCAGAUGACAUGUUGAUCAAGAACUCAGGUGACCCAAUUUCUUCAAUUGUUAAUAGCACAUAUCCAUCACUUUUGGAGAAUAUGAGUGAUAUUUCAUUUUUUUAAGAUAGGGCAAUUUUAGCACCUACCAAUGAUAAUUCACUGAACAAUUACAUUUUAUAGAUGAUUCCUGGUGAGAAAAAAAAACAUACUUAAAUGUUGAUAGUCCGUCUACACAUGAUGAAAAUAUUAAUGGUCCUGAUCAGAUUCUCACUCUAGAAUUUUUGAACACCGUCAAAUCUUCAGGUUUGCCAAACCAUGAGUUAAAUCUCAAGGUUGGAGUUCCAAUUAUGUUAUUGAGAAAUAUUGAUUAGCCGUUAAGAUUAUGCAAUGGUACGUGCCUUAUAAUUACGCAAAUGGAGAAUUUCGUACUUGAGGCAAAGAUAAUAUCAGGAAACAGUAUUGGAUAAAAGGUAUAUAUCCCAAGAUUGAGUUUGUCUCCAUCUCCAUCUCCAUCUGAUACAAAACUUCCUCUCACGUUUCAACGUAAACAGUUUCCUAUUAUGGUCUCAUUUACGAUGACUAUCAAUAAGAGUCAAGGACAAUUUCUUAAAAAUGUUGGAAUAUAUCUUCCAAAACCCAUAUUUUCACACGGACAGUUAUAUGUUGCUCUUUCACGCGUUACUUCACGUGAUGGGCUGAAGAUGCUGAUUUGCAAUGACGAAGGACGUGUCUCCAACAAAACUAAUAAUGUUGUCUACAAAGAAGUCUUUCAAAAUUUAAGAUAGAUAAUUUACACAUAUACAUAUAUUCGUAUAUAUAUUCUAUUUGUUUAUUGUUGUGCGCAUCUAGCUAUGUUUUUCAAAGCACUUUUAUUUAAAAUAAUGCCUUUCUUUCGAUCUAUAUAUAUAUAUAUAUAUAUAUAUAUAUAUAUAUAUAUAUGUGUGUGUGUGUGUGUGUCUGUGUGUAGACGCACGCAUAGACGCACAUGCGUGUGUAAGAAAUAAUAUUUAGAAUUUUGUUGUUGACAAAAAAGUCAAAACUUAUCAACUAAAUUCUUUUCACAUAUUAACAAUAUGUUAUGCAUUUUUCUUAUACUUUUUUUUAUAUAUUGUUAUGUAAUUUGUAUUUCUCUUUAUACCUUCUACCAUUUAAAACAAUCGUGUAUAAUCAUACAAAUUUAUUUUAUUUCAUGUCAGGUUUAUCAUCAUCUUUAUGAUGAAUUUUUGAUUUGGAAUCACCAAAAGUCAUGGACACAAAAAUGAGUUUUACUGAUUCAAUUGUUGAGAAUUGACACGUCUUUAUCAUCCAUAAAUUUGUAUAUUAUUACUCAAAACAAACUUAUAUUAGUAGUUGCAUUUGGUUAUUUUUAUUUGUCUAUCCGAUGUGAUAACGAGAAUUCUAAAUUACUUCAAGUUUUUAUUGGUUUUAUUUUGGACACGUUAAUUCAUGCUCACUUAUGUUGGAACAAAGUGUGUUUCACAAUGAACCUUAAUGAGUUUUGAUGAUAACAAGGUAUUAAAAAUUGUCAAUUGGUUAUUUCUAAUAAUUGUUCAAGUGUACAGGACCAAAGGCUAGUCAAGUAAUUUCAAUAGGUCUUGGAAGAACAAUAGAAAGCAAAAGAAUUCUAAGCAUUUGAAGAAAACUGCGUCUGAAGCUUAAAGUGCUUCUGAAGCUGAAGUGCUUCUGAAGUGAUGAUGUCAUCAGAAGCAGAAGCUCAUCAGAUGCAGAAGGUCAUCAGAAGCAAGGUUUUCAUCAGAAGCGAAAUCAACACCAGAAGCUACAUAUAAUCCGUAAAUUCAAACUGAAGAUCCAAAGUAGCUGUUUCUCAUUUCAACCUUAUCUAAGAAGAACGAAGAAUUGAAAGGGAGGUAUCAACGGUCAUUUGGAUAGCACUGAGUAUUUGUCCUUCGUUAACAGAGUUGACAAAGUACAAGUGUACAACCACUACCUCCACUACUCUAUUUUUGUCCACGCUACAAGACAAGACAACAGCUAUGCCUGCAGAAUUUGUGCCUUCAAGAUGGGAAUGAAUUUGAAGCUAAUUCUUCAAAGGACUACACCCAAAUCAGGCAAAGGAUUACUGGUGAAUGAUCAAAGGAUUUCAAAUGACUCUUUAGACGUGCUAAUUAUCUCAACGUCUCUUUCACGCCUCUAUAUAAAGGAGUGAAGACUUGAAGAUUGUAGAUAGUGAUACAUAAGUUAAAAAGCGCCAAAACUCUGUCAAUUUGAUUCUACAAAGCACACUGAAUUUCUGCACUGAUUUGAUACAUCUUAGAAAUUCAAAAGUCUAGAGUCUUUAACGUAUUGUAUUGUGAACACCACUGAUUGUAUAUCAAGUGUUCAAGUCAAACUUAAUUCUUUGUAUUUUUGUUUGAUAAGAAGACUCUUGCGUGUGUGCUUGAGCAUUUUUGUGAAGUCUCAUACUUAGAGAGUAUUAAGCAUUUGUAAUCUUUGUGAUUAUAGUGAAAUCUCCUUGGAAGUGCAAGGGGGACUGGACUACUUCCGUGUUGUGGAAGGAACCAGGAUAACUGCUUGUCUUUGUCUUUCUUUUCUCUGCUCUGAUCCUUUCCGCUGCACAUCUGAUUCUGAUCAUUUCAUCAGAAGCAUUCACAAACUGCUUCUGAAGUCUUAUCAGAAGAAGAAUUUUUAGAGAGAAAAAGAAAACACAAUUCAACCCCCCCUUCUUGUGUUUUUCUCACCUUCAACUUACAACUAUUAUUGUUUCAUUUACGAUUACCUUAUUUAUUAAUCAAUGUCAUAUCUAACUUCCCGUGCAUCGCAUGGGUCUAAAACUAGUAAUAGUUUAAAAGUAAAACACAUAAAUAUGGUUUAGAUUAAGCUUUUCUGACUCUACCAAAAAAAAAAUAAGUUUUUCUGUCCUCGUGAGCUUAACUCAGUUAACUUGGAUAAUACAUAAUAUAUUUAAGGUUCGGGGUUCGAACUCCGACCACCACAAAAAAAUAUUAAGCUUUUCUAUUAAUUUAUUUUCCAUUUUAUUAAUUUAAUUUUAGCUUAUAUACAAAAAAAAAAUUGUGUGGUAAAAAUUACUUAAAAUUUAAACAAUUUAUGUUGAAUACUAAUUCGCGUACUAAAGUGGGUAUCUUUAAAUUUUCUAUAGCUUACUUGGAACAAUUUUAUCAUCAUUACAUGAAUUUCAUAUGAUAAACAUUGACUUACGAAAUUUAAUCUAAAAUGCUUAUAAUGAUCAUGAAAACAUGGGUAAGGCUACGGUAGGAGACCUAUACCGUGAGAGAGCUUUUUUUUUUUCUUCCUUUACAAAAUGAAUAUGGAUCCUAGGAUUUAGUUUAUUCAAUUGAAUGGUAAUGAUUUACAGUAGAGGUGACCUAAUUAAAUGAAGAUGAUUUUUUUCACAGAUUCUAUAUAACUUUUUCUGGGUUGAAAUUGGGAAACUCAAUAGUCAUCUCCAUCCCACAAAUCCUCAUACCCGAAUUCAAAGCAAACUACAUAGUCAUCAUGAAACACAGAAAUCCCUAAGUCAUGAAAUUCUCAAAUGUUAUAUGUCCCCAGUUUAUUUAAAUCACGAAUUUGUCAAACCCACAAAUUAUGAAGUUGGAAAUGUCUAUGAGAAGGGAAGAAGAAGAGAAAAAAGCAAUGAAUUGAAACUUGUUAACGAAAAAUUGAAACUUGUGAUGUGUGUGGGUUAUGGUGUUUUUGAUGUGCAACAACAAUGGUGGAUGUGGAAGAGGUUAGAGAUGAAGCUGGUGAUAGAAUGGUAGCCUUGGGAUUAUGUAAAAAAGUGUUAAAAAAUUAAAAUCUUUAAGCAAAAUUAAACAAAUUUUAAUUUAUAGGGACUAAAACAUGUCAAUUUUGUUUUUCUUGAGGUCUAAAAACAAUAUUUAAUAUAUUUAUCGGGACUAAAAACUUAUUUUACUUUUGUUGUGUAUUGACCAUUCGACUAAUAAUAUUCAAUUAUUUAAAAAAAAAACUCAUAAUAUAUUCUUAUAAACGUGAAUGUAUUUUCAACUUCCUCGUUAUAUUUUUCUAAAGAAAAAAAUGAAGUCAUUAUAUUAAUGGUGUUCAAAGGAAUAGCAACGAUGUUGUAAUCAUUACAGAUCUGAUGGGAAAAUAAUUUUUUUUUAUUUAAGAGGAUAUUCCAAGAUUGUCUUGCCGUUAAAUGAAUAAUUUAAAUAGAAUUUACCUACAACAAUAAGUUACCAAAGUACAACCACCACCAAACACAAGUUAUUUUAAUAGCAAAACUUUCGUAUAGUCUCCUACCAUAGAAAACCUAUUCACAUCUCCUACCUUAAACGGCACCAUGAAAACAUGUUUUAUUCUUCAUAUUUAGCUUUGAUUAAUUUUUUUAUUGAUAAAAAUGACUGAAAUAAAUUAAGAGAUGUUUACAACUAAAUGUAAUCAUCACGCUAGCCAAUCGGAAAGGAUUGUGAUUUGUUUGACCACCAUGUAUUCAGUCGGCGAUUAGGGCUGGGGAAAGUCCGGAACAGUUAUAAACCAUUAAGAAGUUUGUAAAGAAUGCAUUAAACAUUUACAUUACUAUUAAAUUUUAUAUAGGCAUAGUUCAUCAACAUAAUUUGAUUCAUCUUAACUAUAGCAACUGUUAUGUGAAAUAUGGUUGUGUUGCUUCAAGACGACAUUCUUAAAUUUAAGAAUUCUCAUUUUAUAAGGUGUUUUUUUUUUUUUUUGACAAUCAGACAUGCAUUUCAUAUAUUAGAAAGCAAAUCAGUACAAACAGCUGAAGCUGCAGGUUCAGGAACAUAUCCCACCCAAGAACAGGAUCCAAAUUGUUUUGCCAUGCCAACAAGACAAUGUGCAACAACAUUCUUAGACCUUUUAACAGAGACUACAUUACAAUUGGGAAGCUUAGAGAGAAUAUCACUACAAAAAUAACAUUAUCUACAUCAGCUAAAAGGUUACGACCUUUGAGGCAGUUCACUGUUACUUCUGAGUCCGAUUCAAUGAUGAAUUUACCCUCUUGGUUUGUUGUUAGGAUCCACUGGAGACACCAUCUAAGCGCUAAAGCCUCAGCCAGGUUAGGAGACAAUUGCCUCUUUUCCAACUUUGUUGCCGCAAAUUCCACUGCACCUCUAUUGUCCCUAAUCACCAUUCCGGACCCAACAGAUUCGUCCUUGAAACAUGCAGCAUCCACAUUCAAUUGUAACGCACCCGAUGGGGGAGGAGACCAGCUAGCAGGGGAAUUAAUCACCCGGCUAACAGCUGCUACUGUGAUGUUAGCAGCAUUAAACUCAUAGAUGAAAUCCACAGCAGACAACACUAUUUGGAUCGGGUUAAAUUGCUGAUGUUGAAAUAGUAAUUGGUUCCUUCCUUGCCAUAUCUUCCAUAGAGUAAUGCCAAAAAUCUGCGCAGCUAGGUGAUCUUUCUUAUUUAACCAAUCAGACAUCCAUAAUUUUAAACAACAAUGGGAUGGAACAUGAAGGCCUAGAGUUAAAGAGAAACAUGUUUGUUGGGAAAAUCUGCAACACAUAAACAGGUGUUCUGGAGUUUCCUCCUCUUCAAAACAGAGGGGGCAAAUAGUAUCAUUAAGCACACCUUUUCUUCGCAAUCUGCUCCUUGUUGGUAGAAUGUCUUUGGCCAACCUCCAGAGAAAAUUCUGAACACUAGGAGGAGCUUUCAUCCUUCAAAUCGCUUUCCAAAGUUCUUGAUCAUUUGAGGAUGAAGCUUCUGGACACUCCUUUGAAUCAGUCUCUUUGAUGAGAUGAUGGGCUGACCUCACUGAAUAUCUACCAUUCUUCUCCUAGUGCCAAAUUCUUUUGUCUGCAGGCAAUCUCCAAGAUAAUGGAAUAUUGAGAAUCUGUUUCGCUUCAAAAGGUGAGAAUACAUUUCUGAUAAGGUCCCUCUUCCAAAUUUUAGUUUCAGUAUCUAUCAGCUCACUAACACGCGCUUCAGCAGCCAAAAACACAUUGGGGCUACAAAUUUUGAAACCAGCCUGGUUCGAUAACACUUUUUGACCAUCACCUAUAGACCAUCUAGCUCCCUUUUCAAUCACAUUUUUAGCGCUGAACAUACUCCUCCAUGCAUAACUGGGUUGAUAACCAAUUGAAGCAUCCAUGAAUUCGGUUAUGGGAAAGUAACGACUUUUGAAAAUUCUGGUUAGCAAAGAUUCUUGGUUACUAAUCAUUCUCCAACACUGUUUCCCCAGAAGAGUGCUGUUGAAAUCACCAAGGCCUCUAAAACCCAUGCCACCUCUGUCUUUGUUUUUGCCCAGUCUAUCCCAACUAAGCCAGCGAAUCUUCCUUUGUUUUUCAUCAGUACCCCACUAGAAUUUGGCUAACAUUGCUUCAAUAUCAUCACAACACCAAACCGGGAAUUUAUAACAACUCAUAGUGUAUGUUGGAAUCGCUUGGGCAACAGCUUUAAUAAGAGUUUCCUUACCAGCUCUAGAGAGACAUUUUUCUUUCCAUCCCUUAAUCUUUUUCCAAACCCGAUCCUUGACAAAAGAGAAAAUCUCUUUUUUUGAUCUACCAAAAAUCACAGGUAAACCAAGGUAUGUUGAAUGAGAUGUCACAACCUUUACAUCAAUCCUAUCACAGAUCAUAUUUUUCUCAAUUUCAGACAUAUUUCGGCUAUAUGACACUUCAGAUUUUUCCAAGCUUACCGUCUGACCCGAAGCAAUUUGGUAUGAAUGAAGGACAUGUUUGAUUGUGUCUGCUUCCUUCUGAUUAGCUCUGGAAAAUAGGAGACUAUCAUCUGCGAAAAAAAGAUGAGUUAUCUUUGGGGCACCCCUAGCAAUCUGCAGCCCAUGGAUAUUUUUGCUUUGUGCUUCUUUAUGCAACAUACCAGACAGAACAUUAGCGCAUAAAAUGAAAGCAUAGGGGGAUAUAGGAUCACCUUGGCGGAUUCCUCUUUUCGAGAUGAUGUUUCUGGGCUGCCCGUUGAUAAGGAAUUGAUAGGACACUGUGGAUAUGCAUUUCAUAAUUGUAGAAGUAAACUGUUGAGGAAAACCAGUUGCCAAAAGAGCUUUUUCUAUGAAACCCCAUUCCAUCUUGUCGUAUGCUUUAGCCAUGUCAAGCUUUAAGGCCAUCAUAGCCUUCUUCCCUUUUGUCUUCUUUUUUAACCAAUGAAAACACUCCAUAGCAAUGAGAGCAUUAUCUGUAAUGAGUUGCCCUGUCACAAAGGCACUUUGUUCUUCAUCAACCACAUCCGGGAGGAUCAAUUUGAUUUUGUUUGCAACGGUUUUGGUUACUAUUUUCAGAAGUUUUAACUCAACUGACCAAAUGCCAAAAUUGUUAAGCCGGAUGCCAUGACCGGGGUUCGAAUCCCGGUACAUCCACUUGUGUGUGUGAGUUUACAAUAGCUUUGCCUUUUCGUCUAUUUAUAAAAAAAAAUUGUAAAAAUGUGCAUCAAAAUCUUCAUUUAUUCCUUGCUUAUUAUCACUAACUAUUUUUUCUAAAACCUCUUAUCAAUAAGAAAAUUGAGUUAUUUAUAAUCAUAAGGUAACUUUUAAUACUUUUAAUUUUUAUUUAAUUAUAGACAUUAUUACAUUAAAGGUCAUUUAUUUUUUUUUUUUGUUACACUUAGGUCUUUUAUCUCUUAUAAAAGCACAUAUACAUCUUUUUUCGCAUUUUUUUUAUUAAAAAAAAUACAUAAUUUUAUUUUUUAAAAUAUUUUUUUAUUAAAAAUGAAACAAAUCCAGAAAUAUGAUGAAGAUGUUCAUCAUCUUCAUCUUCUUCCUUUGAAUCUUCAUCAUCUUCAUUGAAUCAAAAAAAUUUCUACACAAAUAUAUCUCCAAAUAUCAUGAAUGUUAUAUUCACCACAAAUCUUCUUUUAAACACAAAAAUCAAAACCUAUAGAGAAAGAGAUUUAGUUUCAUCACAAAAAAAAAGAUUUAGUUAUAUAAAUUGUCACGCUUUAUAUUAUUAUUAUUAUUAUUAUUAUUAUUAUUAUUAUUAUUAUUAUUAUUAUUAUUAUUAUUAUUAUUAUUAUUAUUUUCUAACUCAAUAUUCAAGUCCGGCAUAAAAAUAACCUCAAAAUUGAGAGCAGCUUUGCACAUCAAUUUUGUUGUUUCCAGAACAAUCUUAAAUUUCGUAAAGUAUAACCCUUCCGCCAGUGACUAAGCCUCCACCAUCUGCCUUGCAACAUUUGUGAAAUUAAGGUUUUGAUUUUUGUGUUUAAAAGAAGACUUGAGGUGAAUAUAAGAUUAUUUCACGAUAUUUGGAGAUAUAUUUUAGUAGAAUUUUUUAUUUUAUUUAAAGAAGAUGAUGAAGAUUCAAAGGAAGAAGAUGAAGAUGAUGAACAUCUUCAUCAUAUUUUUGGAUUUUUUUUCAGUUUUAAUGAAAAUAUAUUUUUAAAAAUAAAAUUAUGUAUUUUUUGAUAAAAAAAAAUGCGAAAAAAGAUGCAUAUGUGCUUUUAAGAGAGAUAAAGGAUCUAAACGGGAAAAAAUAAAGAUAAAUGACCUAAACGGGAAAAAAUAAAGAUAAAGGACCAAAGUGUUACAAAUAAAUAAGAUAAAGGACCCAUAAUGUAAAAUUAUAUUUAGGUGUUCAAUUUUAAUUAAUUUACACUACAUGACUGUCUUAGAACAAUUAAAAUUUCACAUCAAAUUUCUUUCAUCUGAAUGUCCUUAAAUUUAUCAGUUAUAUUCAUAAAAUUUCUUCUUACCAUUUUGAUUGUUUAAUUUUGUCGUUCCCAACUGCCGCACUUUUCAAUUUUCGUGAGAAUCAUCGUCAUUCGUUUGAUUUUAAAUAUCGUGAGAAUUGCCUUUAUUUCCAGUACCACAUCAGGUAUGGUGACUUGAUUUUUCUUUUUGAUUUGAUUUUUCUUGGUUCUGAGGUAGUUAAUUAUAACAAUUGAGUAAGUCAUCCGUUGUACUUUGAGGACUGCUAGCAGGUGUUGCCGCUGUGAUGUUGUGGGAGUUUGCUAGCAUUUUUUUGGUUGCUGCUGAAAUGGUUAUGUAAUGAGGCUUUUGUUCUUUUGUUUGGACUUAAAGACUUUUGCUGAUAGUGAGGCAGGUCUAUGCGUAUUAACAUAUUUUAUUAGGUUGGGUGCUUAAAUAAAAAAAAUAAGUCACGAUACCUGACGCGGUUCUAGAAACAACGACAAUUCUCACUAUAAUUGGAAAUUGCGGCAGUUUGGAACGACAAAAUUGAACAAUCAAAAUGGGAAGAAGAAGAAAUUUGAUCAAUAUGGAAGAAUAGAGAAGAAGAAAUUUGAAUGAAUGAGAUGUUUUUGUUCUCACGUUCGGUGUUCUGGAAUCGAAGAAAUUUUAUGAAUGUAAAUGAUGAAUUUAAGGACAUCCAGAUGAAAGAAAUUUGAUGUAAAAUUUUAUUUGUUAUAAGUCUUGUAGUGUAAAUUAAUUAAGAUUGAACACCUUAACAUAAAAAAUUAAAUUAAAUCAUUUUCUGUUUCAAAAAAAAAAUUAAAUAAAAAUUAAAGUAUUAAAAGUUACCUUAAGAUUAAGAUUAACUUUCCUUAAAAAAAAUAAAUUAAGAUUAACUCUUUUAUUUUUAGAAAAAAUCUACUCAUUUAUUUGACAUUUAAUAUUAUCUAUGUAUAUUACAUUUUGAUUGGUUGAUAUCAUGAGAGGCUAAAUUACCCUUUAAAUAAGAAAGGGUAACGUAGCCCUCACCGUUAAUGUACCAUAUUAAGCAAGUUGCAAAGAGGGAAAAGAUUAACCUUGACAUAUAUACAGAAGUCAUAUACAUUUAUAAGCACGUUGAACAAAUUAUCAUAUAGUUGACAUUGUCACCUUAAACUUGAAAUUUUACAAUACAAUUUGAAUGAAGUUUUAAUCUUUUUUUACAAAGUCAACAAUGAGUUGAGAGGCUAGCCCGGUGAUGUUAGUUGUUGCAGCUGCAUGGACUAUAAUGAAAGAAUAUUUUAGUAAAGUUUGUUUCCAAUGAUUCUUUUUAUUCUUUACUGCAUUCCCAACCAUAAUACCCUCUUGCACACCAUGCCUCUCAUCAUUUAUCUUCUUCACUAUAACUGCAUCAAAUACACUUGAAAGAAUGCUCGUAUAAUACUCAAAUUGUUCUUGUUCCGCAAUCACGUUAACAUCGAGCCACGUAAAGACCAAAUCAAGUGCAUUAUUGAUCUUUUCCUUUUCUUUUGACGAAAGCAUCAAACUAAUAUCCUUAUCAUUUAUAGCAUUCCUCAUGUUGUAUGCAUACGUCUCUAGUACAACUCUCGCUUCUACCUUCUUCAUAUACCUCUUGUCUUCAUCUUUGUACUUCUCAGCUUCUUUGAUCUUCCUCUCAAUAUCCUCCUUUGACAACCUUCCCUUGUCACUUAUUAUUUUAACCUUCUUAUUAACUCCAAGGGACUUUUCCGUGCUACAAACGUCUAAGAUGCCAUCAUCAUCGAUUUGGAAGCUGAUUUUAAUCUGAGGAACACCUGCCGGAGCCGGAGGAAUUUCCAAAACAAAUUUUCCAAGCAAGUUGUUUUCCCUAGUUAUUUUCCUCUCACCUUCAUAAACAUGAAUUAGAAUAUUCAUUUGGUUGUGCAAAUGUGUGGUGAAUACAUGUUCCAUUUUGGCAGGAAUUUUGGUAUUCCUAGGGAUUAUUGUGUUCAUAAUCCCCCCAUGAGUCUCCAAUCCAAGGGACAAAGGAAUGACCUCCGACAAUUGUAAAUCUUUCUCACUACACUCACCACUCAAUAUAGAAGCAUGGACAGCAGCGCCAUAUGCCACCGCCUCAUCGACAUUGAUGCUUUUGCAUAAAAGCUUCCCCCCGAAGAAAUCACUCACCAUUUGUUGCACUUUUACAAUCCUGGUAGAGCCACCAACAAGGACAACAUCAUGAAUGCUACUCUUGUCCAUCCCACUAUCAAUUAUACACUUUUCCACAAUCUCCAUGCACUUGUCGAAGUGAUUCUUGUUGAGUUCCUCAAACUUUGCACGACUAAUCGAUGAGUAGAAAUCUAUACCUUGAUUUAAACUCUCUAUCUGAAUGGUGGUUGUAAUAUUGGAAGAAAGUAUCCUUUUUGCUUUCUCGCAAGCAGACUUCAACCUCCUAAGGGCUCUUGGAUCUCCACUAAUGUCGAUUUUAUACUUCCUCGAGAACUCAUUCACAAAAUGGUUCACCAUUGUAUUAUCAAAGUCUUGUCCCCCAAGGUGAGUGUCUCCUGCAAUCGCCUUAACAUUGAUAGCACCUUUCUCAAAUGUGAGAAUGGACACGUCCAAAGUACCACCUCCUAAAUCAAAAAUGAAAACAUGUUUACAUCCAUGAUUAAAAGGUUUCAUGUCAAGACCAUAUGCAAUUGCAGCUGCAGAAGGCUCAUUGAUUAUUCGCAUAACAUUGAGGCCAGCAAUAACACCCGCAUCUUGGGUGGACUGGCGUUGUGAGUCAUUAAAGUAAGCAGGCACAGUUAUAACAACAUCCUUCACUGUUGAUCCAAGGUAAACUUCAGCUAUCUCGGCCAUUUUUGCCAAUACCAUCGAUGAGAUUUCUUCAGCAGCAAAAUGCUUUUCCUCGUCUUUAUAGUUAACAACAAUCAUGGGUUUGUCAUUGAGGUUGCCAAUUACUUUGAAGGGCCACGACUUCAUAUCACUUUGUACGAUUGAGUCGCAAAACUUCCUACCAAUUAGCCUCUUUGCAUCUACAAAACAAACAAAAGAGUUGAGUACACUAUGAGAAAAAAUGAUGUACCAUUUUCUUUGCAUUUGAAUAAAUCUGUAUGUAUAAAUAGGAUAACUCUAAUAUAUCUUUGAAUAUGAAAAAUUGUUAUAUAUCAAUUAUGAAUCAAAUUACACUGAUGUAACAUGUAUCGUUACAUCACUAAAUAACUUUUUAUUGGAUAUAUUUUCAUUACAAAAUUUAUAGCUGGAUUAAAAAUUAUUUUGCAUAUAAUACAUCUAUAAAAUCAUUUGAAAUAUAAUAUACAGAUGGUUUAAAAUUAUUUCCAUAUCAAGUUCAGUUGGUUCCAAACCCAGCUUGUAUCCAAAAGAGUUAAUAUAUGUUUACCUGAUGUAAUAUUAGCGGUUUCUGAUUACCCCAUAUAAAAAGAAUUAGAUUCAAACUCUGUAAUUUGAAGAUUGUUUGGAUUUAGAUUUUUAUGAAUUUUGAUCGUACAAAAUCGAUAAAAUGACAGUGAUAAACAAAAAUUCGUUCAAAAUACAGAGUGUGAAAGUACCUUAAAUAUUGAAAUUUGAUGUCAUAAAAUAAAAAAACUAAAGAAUCUUCAAAUUAACAGAGUUGAAAUCUAAAAAAGAAACUUUACAGAAAGUAAACCAAAAACCGUUAAUAUUACAUAGACCCUAUCGAAAAUAAGAAUUUUAACUAAAGAAAUAACAUAAAUAGGAUAAGUUUCAUGCAUUAAAAUAUCAUAUAUAGUUGGCUCAUCAAACAUUAAAAUCAAGGAAAAACAUGAUAGUUUAUCUUAGAGUAUUGUUGUUCACACAUUUGGUUUGGCUGAGAAAUACGAGUAAUUUUCCUUAAUACCCUUCGGCAGUUAACCAUCGAAAUUUUAAAGAAUCGGCUGCAGUUAACUGCUGAGGAAAACUUCAGUAGUUAACUGUCGAGGAAAACUUCGAUAGUUAACUGCCGAGGAAUUUCAAACCUGAAAUUAAAUAAGGAAAUGCACCUAAAUUUUCCCUUAAUUAAAUUUAAUUCUUUACUACAUGAUUUUUUUUAUAAUGUUGUUGAUUUCAUUCAUAUAAUUUUGUUGCCAUAAAUGAAGAAAUAUGAGAUCCUAGAACUACAUAUUCGAUCAUGUUUCUUACUAGUAAUAGAAAAGAGGUUUUAUUUCUAAAAAAAAAAAAAAGAGGUUUUAUUAAUAGAAUGAAUAAUUACAAAUGUAAUUAUUUGAAAGAGAGAUGAAUAAUAUCUAAAAUAUUAUAAAGUAGAGUAAAUAGUCAAUUUCCCCCCUGAAAUUGUAAGUUUCAUCAAUUACCCUCCUGAAAUUAACAAAACUUCAAUUACCCCCCCUGAAAUUUCACAACGUUAUAAAAAUUAAUAUUAUUUUUUCCAAAAACAAACAAUUAAUAGUUAAAUAUUAAAACUAACUAUUAAUUUUGGAAUUUGGGAAAACUACAUGCAUAUAUACAUCAAAAUAGGCUCCAAAAUGGGAAAAAAAAAAUGUAUUUUUUAAAGUGACAAUAAUGGGAUGAUUUGUGGAUUAAUAUUGGGGGUUGUGUAGUUUAAAUGAUUUGAGAAAAUUGUUGAAGGAGUUUGAGGAGUUAAAAUAUUACGAUGGUGAAGGAGAACAUAUAAAUUUAAAUCUGAUUAUUAAUUUGUUUAUAAACCUCUAAAAAUAAUAAUUUUUCUAUUAGAAAUAACCAUUAUUGUCACUUUAAAAAUACACAUUUUUCCCUAUUUUGAUGUAUAUAUGUAUGUAGUUUUUCCAAACUCCAAAAUUAAUAGUUAGCUUUAAAUUUAACUAUUAAUUGUUUGUUUUUAAGAAAAAAAUAAUAUAAAUUUUUAAGUUUGGGGGGCAUUUUGCACAUAAGUGCAAAACUUUAGGAGGGUAUUUGCAAAACGUCAUUUCACUAACAGAAAAAUUUGACGGAGGGGGUAAAUUGACUAACGUUGUGAAAUUUCAGGGGGAUAAUUGAAGUUUUGUUAAUUUCAGGGGGGUAAUUGAUGAAACUUACGAUUUCAGAGAGGAAAUUAAUUAUUUACUCUAUAAAGUAAUAAUAGGUUAGUCAAACCUAUAAAUAAUGACAUACAUCAAUGAAAUUAAUUACAAAUAUAAUUAUUCUAUCAUUUAUAAUGUUUUUUGUUGUUGCAUUUUUUUUAUUGAAUCACCAUUUUAGGUCCAUUAAUUACCGAUGACGAACAUUUUUAUUUUUUGUUGUUGCGUUUUUCAUGUUAAUUAAAGUAAUAAUAUCUGAAAUAUUAGUAUAAAGUAAUAAUAGGUUAGUCAAAUCUAUGAAUAAUGACAAACAUCAAUGAAAUUAAUUACUAAUAAUUUCAAAUAUAAUUAUUCUAUCAUUUGUAACGUUUUUGUUGUUGCAUUUUUUUUUUUUAUUGAAUCAUCAUUUUAGGAAUUAUUAACUACCGAUAGUAGAUAUUAUUCAUCUCUCAUAUUUCUUCAUUUAUGGCAACAAAAUCAUAUGAAUGAAAUCAUAAAAAUAAUUAUGUUUAAUUCCUUAAAAGGAUUAAAGAAUUAAAUUUAAUUAAGGAAAAUUUAGGUGUAUUUCCUUAUUUAAUUUCAGGUUUAAAAUUCCUUGGCAGUUAACUGCAGCCGGUACUUUAAUAUUUCGACAUUUAACUCCCGAUGAUCAUUUAAGUAAUUUACUUGUGUUUAUGAGCCAAAACUAAAUGUAUCAAACAACAAUACUCUUUAUCUUAUCAUGUAUCAUUUUAUCCUAAAUAAAAUCAAGAAUAAUUGAGUUUAGAAGCUUUUACCAAAAACAGUGUUGGUUGGGUUGGAUGCAGCCAUAUUGGAAGCAGCAUCACCAAUCAUUCUUUGAGAGUCAGUGAAGGCAACAUAAGAAGGUGUUGUUCUAUUCCCUUGGUCGUUCACUAUUAUCUCUACCUUAUCAUUCUUCCAUACAGCAACACAAGAAUAGGUUGUUCCUAGGUCGAUUCCUAUUGCAACUUUCUCACUUUUUACUGUCAUUUCUCUCUUGCAAGGUCACCCAGGUUUUGAGAACAAAUUGUUGUUUGUUUUGGCUAAUGUAUAAGGUUUUCUUUGAGGGCUUGGCUUAUAAAAAGAAGUACAAUAUGAACUUCUUUGUAAGUUUCGUUGCUGUUUCGGAUUAGUUUUCAUGAUUUUAAGGUUGGUGGUUAUAAUUUUCACAAAUAACUAGUGGAUAAUAAUUUGCUUAAAAACAAAAAACAAGCAGUGGUGCAUAAUUUAAGACAAAAAUAUUUGCAACGACUAGAAGUCAAGCUGACACUUUCCUCGAAAUUGAUUCAGUAAACUCUUAUCAACUGGAGUUUUGCUACUUGCAAGAGUGAAUAUUCUCCUUGGAUAGCAUAUUAAAUCCAUCUAUAUAGGCUAUAACCCUUAUUUAUAAAAUAAAAAGGAAAAAAAUUCAUUAGACGCCAAACUUGCAUUUCAAAAAUCCAUUUUGAUUUUGUGCCUUACCCUAAUAGAACAACCUUUCUUUCCCAUGGAAACGGUUGGGAAUUCCGCCUUUAUUGCGAUCUAUCCCUAGUCGCUUAAAUGCUACAUUUGAGUUGUCUUGUGUUGGCUUUGAGGGGGUGGAUUUAGUCCCAUAUGGGUUGAAUUGGACUAAGUGUAUAGAAGAGGAGGCACUCCAUGCUUUACAAGCCGGUUUUGUCAAGAUGAGUUAGGCUACAAAUUUCUACGGUUCGCAAAUACUCCAGAGUCGGAAGAGCAUUUUUUUUGUAAAGUGUUUUCCCUAGUUAUUUUCCUCUCACCUUCAUAAACAUGAAUUAGAAUAUUCAUUUGGUUGUGCAAAUGUGUGGUGAAUACAUGUUCCAUUUUGGCAGGAAUUUUGGUAUUCCUAGGGAUUAUUGUGUUCAUAAUCCCCCCCGAGUCUCCAAUCCAAGGGACAAAGGAAUGACCUCCGACAAUAGUAAAUCUUGAACCUUCUCACUACGCUCACCACUCAAUAUAGAAGCAUGGACAGCAGCGCCAUAUGCCACUGCCUCAUCGACAUUGAUGCUUUUGCAUAAAAGCUUCCCCCCGAAGAAAUCACUCACCAUUUGUUGCACUUUUACAAUCCUAGUAGAGCCACCAACAAGGACAACAUCAUGAAUGCUACUCUUGUCCAUCCCACUAUCAAUUAUACACUUUUCUACAAUCUCCAUGCACUUGUCGAAGUGAUUCUUGUUGAGUUCCUCAAACUUUGCGCGACUAAUCGAUGAGUAGAAAUCUAUUCCUUGAUUUAAACUCUCUAUCUCAAUGGUGGUCGUAGUAUUGGAAGAAAGUAUCCUUUUUGCUUUCUCGCAAGCAGAGUUCAACCUCCUAAGGGCUCUUGGAUCUCCACUAAUGUCGAUUUUAUACUUCCUCGAGAACUCUUUCACAAAAUGGUUCACCAUUGUAUUAUCAAAGUCUUGUCCCCUAAGGUGAGUGUCUCCUGCAAUCGCCUUAACAUUGAUAGCACCAAUCUCAAAUGUGAGAAUAGACACGUCCAAAGUACCACCACCUAAAUAAAAAAUGAAAACAUGUAUACAUCCAUGAUUAAAAGGUUUCAUGUCAAGACCAUAUGCAAUUGCAUCUGCAGUAGGCUAGUAGAGUCAUUGAUUACUCGCAUAACAUUAAGGCCAACAAUAGCACCCGCAUCUCGAGUAGACUGGCGUACGUUGUGAAACAUUAAAGUAUGUAGGCACAAUUAUAACAACAUCCUUCACUGUUGAUCCAAGGUAAGCUUCAGCAAUCUCGCCCAUUUUUGUCAAUACCAUGGAUGAGAUUUCUUCUGCAGCAAAAUGCUUUUCCUCGUCAUUAUAGUUAACAACAAUCAUGGGUUUGUCAUUGAGUGGUGCAACGGUAUUACAUAGAAAUGUCACCAAGUUGUAACUGGUUUGAAUCUCUCUUGCUGUGUUUUUCAUAAUUUUUUUUAGAAGUAAAAUUAGGGUUGCAAGAUUUAAUAGGAUUUAUAUAUAAAUAUACUAGACUUUUGACCCCUGCGAAGUCUACUAAUAAACACAAACAAACUUAAUAUUCCAAAUAAAAUACUACCUCCGUCCUUAAUUAUAAGAGCCUUUUGAGAAAAAAAUUUGUCCUUUUUUAUAAGACCCUUUUGGUAUUUACAAGUACAUUAAUUAAUUCUUUACCAACGUACCCUUAUUUAUUUUGCAUUUUUUUCUUCAAUCAACAAUAAAUAUUAUGUUGAAAACAUAAAUUAACUCUCUCUCUCUUAAGGAUAAAAUUGUAAAAACAAUAGUAAUUACAUAGAAAUUUAAUACUACAACCAACUUUCUUAAUUUCCGUAAUUUUUGCAAAAAGCUCCUAUAACCAACUUUCUUAAUUUCUUAAUUUUAAUAAGCAAUAAAUUUACCAAUUUCUAUUCUCACUCAUCAAUUCCUGCGGUGAAUACUCCUUUUAAAAAGACAUCAAACUAUAUUUGUUUGAACAAUGCAAAUAACCCAAAAUCCUUCCCAAACAUACAAACUAAUUAAUAUUAUUUAGUCUCAGUGCACAAUCUUUUUUCUUUUUUUUUUUUUUUGCACUUUCUUCUACUAAUAGGAAUAUAAUAUUUGCAUAAAACACAGACAUGCAAUGGACAAAACAUAUUUGAGGUUUACUACAUCAGGAUCUACUUUAUUUGCACAGUUGGAAGCAACAUAUAAAUGAGCCUUCAUAUACAUUAUGCGCAGUAGAAAUAAAUCAAAAGUAUAGCAGAUCUUUCAAAACACAAAACCAUAACCGAAACAGUCAUUAACGGAAACAAAAGGACAACUGACUUGGACAUCAGCAACACAACCGAAACUCCAUAAUCUUUCAAGAGACUUCACUCAUAGGCUUCAACCUUAACAUGCACCAGCUUAGGCUCUUUUGUAACAGAUGCAUCUUCACCAAUCAAAACAAUAUCAUCUAGUGAUUCGACGCUAUCAGCAGAUCGCUUUCCCAAAGAUUUGAUAGUUGGAGUCACAACUGAAUCAAUUGCGGAAACUUCGUCUUUGUUGCUUGAAUUAACCAGCUUUGGCUCUUUUGUAGCAGAUGCAUCAGAACUAAGCACAACAAAAUCAUCAAGUGAUUCCACGCUAUCAGAAGACCACUUUCCCAAAGGUUUGCUAGUUUGAGUCACAGCCGAAUCAGCCGCUGCAACUUCGUUUUUGAUGCAUAUAUAUUUUUCAGUUUGUUGCUGCUAACUACAACCUAUAUAAUUUAAAAAAUCCUAAACUGCAAAAUAAACGAUCGAAACACACAAAAAUAGAUAUUUUUCUAGCAAAACCCAUAUAUAUAUCGGGUGAUAUACACAUUUACAAACAGCAAGUGGAUCCACGUCCCAAUUUAAAGGCCAUAAGAGUCGCGUGGUAACCAUUGAAUGUAACGAGACAUGUUUGUAAACCAAUGUUGUUAAAUAUCGGCCAUGGUCGCGCCUUGAAGGGAUUGCAUUAUUUGAAGAGUCGCUGAUUUUUUGGCAAACACCACGGCUAAUUUGUGAAGGAUGGAGGUUUCAAGGUUUCAUGGCAUUUUAUUAAUGGCUUAAAGUGGCUUCCCGCCUUGGUCCUAUCAUCCAUCACACAUAACACUUUUAUAAACCAUUAAGUUUUUAUAGAAUGCAAUAACAUAUUGGUAACUAAGUUGCAUAGUUAGCAAGCCUAGGUAGGAAGGAUGAUUGCUCGUUGACAGAUCUUUAAUUUGAAAAAAUUUGCAUCAAAAUCUUCAUGAGAAAUCAUAUAAAGGAGUUAUAUACUUCUAUAAGCAAACCAGACAAUUUAUCUAUCUUAAAGUUGACAUUGUUACCCCUUAAACAAUAAUUUUCCCAAUACAAUUUGCAUGAAGUUUUGACUACUAUUUGGCUAAUUGAUAAAAAUUAUAUACCAAUGAAAGAUAAGUUAGAAGAUGACUUAAAAAUUCUACUAGAGUUUCACUAAAAUUGACUAGAACAAGUAGAAGAUAAUUCAAAUUCAAAUUCAUUGAUUAGGGUUUUGGCCAAAAGCCUACAUUUAUAGAAGGAGUGAAUACCCAAAUUCGUCCUUGGAUUUGCACGAAUCGGCCAAAAACAUCUCCCAAUUAGUCGAAAUGCACGCUUAGUCCCUGAAUUUAACAAACGUCAAUCAAAUUAGUCCUUCCGUCCAAAUGCACCGUUAGUGGUGCUGAGUUGUCUUCCUGCAUGGCUUGUUGUCUUGUACACGUGUACAAGGACGAAUUUGAUUGAAACGCACAAAAUUUCAAUUGUACUUUUGAAUUCAAUUUUUCCUGCUUUUCCAAAUUUACCCUUGUAAUACCUAUACCUUUUCAUGAUCACAUUUCAGCAAUUCCAUCAAAAACAUCCCUGACCGUUCUUCUUCCCGCCUAACCCUUCAUCAUCUUCAUCAGCAUCAUCUCCGGCGAGGAACGUUGCAAAAGAGUCAGUUUUGAUAGAAGAUUUCGUCAUUUCAAAAGGUAACGUCGUUCCUGUUCGUUUUCCAUUCAAUCAUGUUUGUUCUCGUUCGUUUUCUCCGUUAAUGCAGAAAAUGUUGGAAAUGUACCAGGAAAUGCAGAAAAUCAUGUUGCUGAAAAUGGUGGAGGUGUUGUAGAAAAUGUUGGAAAUGUUAAUCCUGGACAUGUUGUAGCUGGAAAUGAUGGACAAGCUGCACAAAAUGCCAGUGUUGGAAAUGUUGCAAUUCAGGGACAAAAUGAUGUCAAUGGUGUUGCAAAUGAAGCAGUGCUUAGACAGGUAUGAAUGUUAGAUUCUAAGGAUCGAUUUUCUAGUAAGUGUAGAAAUUCAGGGACUAAUUUGAUUGAAUUUUUUAUUAAAUAGGGACUGAUAUGAUUGAAAAUGUUGUUGCAGUGUGUUCCUGCAAAGAGGUAUGGCAUUAGAGGUCCAAUUAUUUCAAAUGAGAGACCUAAGCAAAUACCAGUGAGGGGUCCUGCACCUGACAUUGUUCGAGUGCCAUAUCCAAAUUAUGGUCCAUCCGGUUCAAGUCAACCUAAGUUCAUGGAGUUUAUCCCAACCCCCGACUUUCCAAAGAAGUGAAGCUUGAUGCAUGCUUAGAUUGUGCUUUUUGGAAUAUUUUGCUUUGUUUACAUUAUGCCCUCUAGUUGGGUUCUUUUUGGCUAUGUAAUAUUUAAGAACAUCAUUUAUGACUUAUGACUUAUGACUUAUGAGAUAUGACUUAUAGUUGAGUUGCUUUUGCCUAUGUAAUAUUUCAAACUUAAGAGAUAUGACUUAUUUAAUGAUAUUUUCAAGGAUGAAGUUGUGUGUUUUGUCAUUUUUAAUUCGUUUGCUGCAAAUAUAUGCAUUAAGGAUCAACUUGAAAAUAUGUUUUUAUAAUUCAAGGACUUAUUUGACGUUUUUUUGAAAUAAUUCAGGGAUCAAUUUGAUGGCAAGUAAAAAUUAAUAUGGACUGUAUUAGAAAAUAUUUUUUGAAAUCAAUCAAUUUCGUCCUUGAAAUUUUUUGUCAUUAUACAUCAAUUUAGUCCCUGCUUAUGUGGCGUCUGACGUGGCAUCCCAUCUGAGAUGUUAACAGCCACGUCAUCCCCGUUAACGCCCCAAAUGGACGUAGGGACUAAUUUGAUUGACGUUUGUUCUGCAACCUUAUUAUCUUCAAGCCACUUAAAGACCAAAUCAACUGCGUUAUUGAUAUUUUCCUUUUCUUUUGACGAAAGCUUCGAGCUAACAUCUGGAUCAUUUAUGGAAUCCCUCAUAUUGUAUGCGUACCUCUCUAGUGCAUUUCUCGCUUCAACCUUCUUCCUAUGCCUCAUGUCUUCAUCUUUGUAUUUCUCAGCUUCUCUUAUCAUCCUAUCAACUUCCUCCUUUGACAGCCUUCCUUUGUAAGGAUUUUCUAUUCUAACUUGCUUGAUUUUCACAUUUAUAACAAUUUCUUAAAAAGAUGCAGGUAUUUUUUGUAAUUUGAUCAUUUUUCCUUUAGAGCAAUUUUUUUUUCAAAAACACGUUAUUCAACCGGUGCGAAGCACUAAUGUCAUAUAUGUUUCUGAGAAUAGGUAGUGUAACGCCCCAGAUUUUGAUCCAAGACAUUACUUAAAAAUGAUAUGUUUCUUUAAAAAAUAUUUGAGUGAAACUAAUAGAAAGAUAAACUGUUAAAAAUAAAUCAAUAAAAAAUUACUCCUUAAUAAUAGAAUUCAAAAGUAUUUUAGAAGUUACAAAUACAACUUAAUGAAAAUUAAUCUUCUUUUACAUUGAAAAACGCAAUUUGCCCCCAAGUACGCUUCGAUCACACAUCAAGCUCAUAUUUCAUCUUUGGUGCCUACAACAUUAUAUUAAUGUAAGGGUCAAUUUCCGUAUCCAAAUUGGUUCAUACUGAAAGCACAAUAAACAAUGCUCUAAAAUAGAUAGUAUAAAAUCUUCUCGAUCAAAAAGAAAUAAAAAUAACAAGCCAUCUUUUAAGAAAAGAACUCAAAUGAAAUUAUGCAUGAGAUGCAUGCUAUGCUCUUAAGUACUACAUGAUCCAGAUAUAAACAAGCCACAAAGGCUAAAACGAGCCACAAAGGCUAUGCAAAUGUUGUGAUAAUGAAACAAGCCACAAAUGCUAUGCAUAUGCCAUGCCAUGAUGAUUAGUUUCAAAAAUUAAUAUUCUAGCCACUUAGGCAAAAGCAAAAUAGAACCCAACCACUAAGGCAACCACACAACUAAAUCAUAAACAAAUUACAUCCUUUUUAUUCUCAAACAUCACAAAGCAAAUAAAACAUAAUAGAAAUCGAUAUCACCUUCUCAUAUAUAAAAUUCAUAAAUAAAUCCAAGCUUUAAUAAUUAUAUUUAUCUUUUAAUUAUUAUUAUUAUUUUUAUUUUCUUUCAAACCGACAAAAAUCUCUACCACUAUUUCAUAAUAAGAUCCUAACACUUAGUAAGAACGUAUGGGGAAAAAGCCCUUACCUUGGUCGUUUCCUCUUUUAACAACAUGAAAAUUUACCAUCGCACGAAAGAUAAGAGUGUGCCCAACGCUAGAAUCACACAAAAUGGAGGAGAAUGACUAAGAAAUAUUUUUGGAUAUACACAAGAUGAUUGUUGUGUGGGAUAUAUGAUAGACUCCAUCUAUUUCUUUCUUUUACUAACUAUUUGAAAUGUGUAACUCUUAGGAAGGUGAGAGUGGUUUCAAAUAUUAAGAGACAAAUAGAUGCAAAGCAAGACACGUUACAAAAUAAAGAUAAUUUAUGGUGAAAAUGAAUUAGUAAUAAAAUCAAAUCACUCGGGUCAAAGGUACUACUAGAGAGAGAGACUCGUAAGACCAACAAAACAUUUAACCAUCUUAAAAUAAUUUAAAGCAUUAUAUAUAAAAAUAUUAAAAUAAAUAGAAUUAUUAAAAAGAACAUAUAUAAAAAUAUAAAAAUAAAUAGAAUUAUUAAAAAGAACAUAUAUUAAAAUAGAAUUAUUAAAAAGAACAUAUAUUAGAUAAAUUGCAUCAACAUUAUUAAAAAGAGUAGAAGCCUGAGUGCAAAUUCUAAUAAGUUUUAGGCCCCGUUUGGAUUGGCUUAUUUUGAGCUUAUGUGUGCUUAUUUAUUUUCAUAAGUUUUUUUAAAGGUGUUUGGGUAAAUAAAUAAAAAUAGCUUAUCAUAGUUUCAUAAGCUGCUUAUGUCAUAUUUUAAUAAGCCUAAAUUUUCAGCUUACCCACCGGCUUAACAAGGAGCUUAUGAAUUUAUGUAACCUCCUUCGAUUCUCUCUGGAUCCACUUUUUCAAAACAUAUAUUUUUAUUUUAUUUUUUUGUUUUUAGAAAAAAAAAACAUAUAUUUUAAUUAUAAUGUUAGUUAUCUUUGGUUGUGCAUGAGUAACAAAAUGGCUAUAUAUUUAUCUUACUAAAGUAACACACGUAACUACGAUUUUUUUUUAAGAAUGAUUUUUAUUAUUUUUUUGUUACAUAACAAAAUGAAACUGAAUAAAAAAAAUAAACUUAACUUGUCUUUUUUUGGUAACAAAUUGUACAUUAAUAUCUAUAUAUAUGGUAAGUUUACAAUCAUAAUUUUCCAAGUUUAUAUUUAUAUUAUUAUACUUUUUUUUAAAAGAAAGCUUAUCAUAUAUUAUUAUACUUGUGUAUAAUGAUGUUUAGACUAUUUAUUUACACCUCGAAUGUUAAUUUUGUCUAAUAAGGAUUUUCUAUUCUAACUUGCUUGAUUUUCACAUUUAUAACAAUUUCUUAGAAAGAUGCAGAUAUUUUUUGUAAUUUGAUCAUUUCUCCUUUAGAGCAAUUUUUUUUCAAAAACACGUUAUUCAACCCGUGCGAAGCACUAAUAUCGUACAUGUUUCUGAGAAUAGGUAGUGUCAUACAUGUUUCUGAGAAUUGAGAAAGAAUUGGCAAAGGUGUUUUGGUUUGGUUAUAGAGAUUGUGAUGCUUUUGUGUAGGUAUAUAUAUCUUGGGGGUUAUUCGACAGUGAAGUAGAAGUUGCAAGGUCCUAAGCACUAAUGAAUUAUUACAUUCUACCUGCACUGAAUUUAUUACAUUUGAUUAUCAAGCUCAUUUGCAAUGCAUCCAACAUGUAUCUCCCUUUUGAUUUUCCAAUUGGUAAGUAAAAUUAUCAUUGUACAGAAUAGAAAGUACAAUGCCUAAAUUGUAGCAUGGACUUUCCUUAGCAAGUUCAAAUAUGUUUUGAUAAAAAGUAAGCAAUCAGAUAUUUUGAAAAUGUGAUCACAAUCGUGGAUUUAGAAGAAUAUAAAUCAAUGCGAUCACUGAGUUUGAAUAAGGAUUUGUCACUGUCAAUCCUUCAUAAAUGUUGUUUUUUGAUACACUAAAAAACCAAAAGCAAUUUAUGAAUUAUAUUGGAGCCUGUGACUGUUAAUUUUCGUGUAGUGUAGAGGAGCUCAAGUUAUUUAGUAUGAUCAUGAUGAUGUUAAUUAACAAAUAUGAGGAUUUGUAUUAUUCAGUCUAUGUAUAUUUGUUUAGAUUACAUAAUAUGUGCACUAUUUGGCUGUGUUUCUUAUCUAGUGCGGUAACAUUUUGGGAUUGGCUUAGGACACUUGGAUUUUAUCUUAAGAAAUCAGUUUCAUUUGACUUAUUCAAACAUGUAGUAAGGAUUAAAAAUAAAAAUAAAAACAGUAUUCAACCCGUGCGAAGAACGCGACCUUCGUUCUCAAAAUUACGAAGAAUAAGAAUGUUCCGUAAUUUGAACAUCCCUCUUUUAGAGAAAUUUUUUAAAAAAAUACAUAAUUUAACCUGUGCGAAGCACGGGUUUGUAACUAAUUUAUCUAUGAAAAUGGUUUUGGGUUUUCUUUGAAAUAGGAGAUUCUUGGAAAAAUUGGAGUUUAUGUGGAAAAAAUUGGAGUUGCAUUGGAAAAAUAGGAGUUGAUUUGGAAAUUCUUCGAUAAAAUAAUAUAAAGAGGCUGUUCAUGUGCUUCUCUCUUUUAACUCUUCCAUUUUCUUUUUUAAUUCUAGAAAUAGAGUGUGACAUUUAGAUUUUUUAUAAAUAAAAAAUUACACAACUGACAUCGUCAUCACUUAAGUGAUUCAACAAGAUGGUUUAACGGUACAAUUUAACGGUAAAAAAUUACACAAGUGACAUCCUCAUCACUGACAUUGUCACUUAAAUUUGAAAUUUCACGGUACAAUUUGAAUGAAGGUUUAACUUUUUAUAAAGUCAAUCAUUACAGAAGAAACUAUUCCGGUGAUGUCACCUGUUGUAGCUGCAUACACUGUCUCGAAACAAUAUUUGGCUAAUAAUGGUAACCAACGAUUCUUUUUUUUGUUCACGGGAUGUCCAACCAUAGUACCUUCUUGCACACAAUGUCCCUCAUCCUUUAUCAUCUUUAUAACAAUUGGAUCAAACACACUUGAAAGAAUGCUACUAUAAUGUUCAAAAUCUUGUUGUUCUGCAACCACAUUAACGUCAAGCCACUUAAAGACCAAAUCAGUUGCGUUAUUGAUGUUUGCCUUUUCUUUUGACGAAAUCUUCGAGCUAAUAUCCGGAUCAUUUAUGAAUUCCCUCAUAUUGUAUGCGUACAUCUCUAGUGCAUUUCUCGCUUCAACCUUCUUCCUAUGCCUCAUGUCUUCAUCUUUGUAUUUGUCAGCUUCUCUUAUCAUCCUAUCAACUUCCUCCUGUGACAGUCUUCCCUUGUCAUUUACUAUUUUAAACCUUUUAUCAAUUCCCGAGGCUUUUUCCGUAACAGAGACGUCUAAGAUGCCAUCAUCGUUAAUUUGGAAGUUGACCACGAAAUGUAGAACACCUUUUGGACGUGGAGGAAUUUCAAACUCAAAAGCUCCUAGCAAGUUGUUGUCCUUAGUUAUUUGCCUCUCACCCUCAUAAACAUGAAUCGAAAUAACUUUUAGGUUGUCUUCAGCUGUGGUGAAUGACUUUUCCCUAUUGGUAGGAAUCGUGGUAUUCCUAGGAAUUAUUACGCCCAUGAGGUCCCCUUUCAUAUUAAUUCCAAGGGACAAAGGAUUGACAUCCCUCAAUGUCAAAUCUUGAAACUUUUCACAAAUCGCACCACUUGCUAUAAAAGCAUGGACAGCAGCGCCAUAUGCAACCGCCUCAUCUACAUUGAUGUUUUUACAUAACUCCGUCCCACUACCCUUAUUAAUUCCAAAGAAAUCAAUCAAACGUUGUUGCACUUUUACAAUCCUGGUAGAGCCGCCAACAAGCACAACAUCAUGAAUUUUACUCUUCACUAUCCCACUAUCUUCUAUACACUUUUCUACACUCUCCAUGCACCGGUCAAAAAGACUCUUACUGAGAUUGUCGAAAAUUCCACGACUAAUCACUGAGGAGAAAUCUUCACCUUUAUAUAAACAAUCUAUCUCGAUGUCAGUCUUAUUAUUGGAUGAAAGUGUACAUUUUGCUCUCUCGCAAGCAGUCUUCAGCCUCCUAAUGGCUCUUGGAUCUCCACUAAUGUCGAGUUUAUGUUUUCUCAAGAACUCUUUCACAAAAUGGUUCACCAUUGCAUUAUCAAAGUCUUGUCCCCCGAGGUGAGUGUCUCCUCCAGUGGCCUUAACAUUGAUAUCACCAUUCUCAAAUGUGAGAACAGACACGUCCAAAGUACCACCACCUAAGUCAAAAAUGAAAACAUUUCUACAUCCAUGAUUAAAUGGUUUCAAGUCAAGGCCAUAUGCAAUUGCAGCUGCAGUAGGCUCAUUGAGUAUUCGCAAAACAUUGAGGCCAGCAAUAGCACCCGCAUCUCGAGUAGACUGGCGUUGUGAGUCAUUAAAGUAUGCAGGCACAGUUAUAACAACAUCCUCCACUAUUGAUCCAAGGAAGGUUUCUGCUAUCUCGCGCAUUUUCACCAAUACCAUGGAUGAGAUUUCUUCAGCAGCAAAAUGUUUUUCCUCGUCAUUAUAGUUAACAACAAUCAUGGGUUUGUCAUUCAGGUCACCAAUUACUUUGAAUGGCCACAACUUCACAUCACUUUGUACUAUGGGAUCACUAAAUUUCCGACCAAUUAGCCUCUUUGCAUCUACAAAACAAAAGAGAGUUGUGUACACUAUGAAAAACAAUUGGAUCGCUUUAUGAAUUAAUCAUUCUAUGUGGAUUUGAAUAAAUCCAUAUAUAUAUAAAUAGGAUAACUUUAAUAUAUAUAGCUUGUAUAGAAAAUACUAUUAUAUAUUUAACCCCGUAAGUAAUACAAUCUUGGGAUUUUGGUCCCUUAUAAAAAACAAUAACAAAUCAGCUCCUAUGUUUAUCCUCUUUUGCACUUUUGGCCUUCCGACCAAUUUUAAUCAAAUUAAUGCAUAUGUGACACCCAUAUCACUUUAUUUAUUAGGUUUAAUUGCAGUUUUUCCCCCUAAGUAUCAUAAUCUUGCGAUUCUGGCCCCUUAAAAAAAUAUAAAGUCACACGUGGCACCCCCUUUAAAUGAUAUGUGGCCAAAAUCGUAAAAUUGUGAUAUUAAGGGAUCAAAAUUGAAACUAAGCCUAAUAUGUAUUGUUACAACGUGAAAUAACUUUUUAUUGGAUAUUUUCAUUACAAAGAGAACUCUUUAUUUUGCUUAUGAACUCGUGGGAUACACAAAAAUUGUAUUAUCAUGUAUAAAAAUAAAACUAGUACUAAUCUAUCACGUCUUUGAAUGAACUUUGAGUUAAAAUACUCUUAUUAAAAAAAAAAUCAUAUAUAUAAGCCACAGUUGCAUAAUUCUCUUACAAAAUAAUCAUGCAUGUGUUUUCUUAAAAAUUUAGUAGAAAGUAACGAACAUUGUCGAUAUGCUCAUGAACUUUACUAAUAAUUUUGUUAAGCUUUUGAAGAUCUAUUAAUAUAAAAUAAUAGUGGUCAUUCAUCAUGAGUUAUUGCUUUAAAAAAAACAAAGAACCAAAACUUUCAAUAAUCUUUACUUCUAAUUUUCAUAUCAGAUAGAUUAUUGAAAAGAAAUAUUUAGUUUCUCUUCUUGUUAAUUUCUUUAUAUUGUAAUAGAACCGAAAAUACAUAUUAAUAAAAAAUAUAUCAAAUACACCUACUAAUACUAUCACACUUCAAAAAAUAACCGAAAAUACAUACUACUAAAAAAAAAGGAUUAAAUAUGUUUUUUAGUCCCUAUAAAUAUACCAUAUUUUUUUAAUAUUAAAUGAGUCCUCGUAUAUUUUCUCAUAAAAAUUACUCAACUUUUUAUUUUCUUUAAAAAAAAUGAGUAACCUAUUUCACUAUAUUUUAGCGUUAUAAAAUAAAAAGUUAUAAUAUGUAGUAACAAAUUUAAUCAUAAAAUAUUUGCAACAAACUAAAGUUGGAUGACGUCUUCAAAAUAACUAAAGAGUGCAACAUCAUAGUUUGUAACUCUAACAUGUUUUGAUUUUUAAUAUAGAGGAUGUGUCAAUUUUAAAAAUUUGACUUUGAUUUUCAAUAUAGAGGAUGUGUUGUAUCAAUUUUAGAAAUUAGACUUGAUUUAUAACAAAAACAUAUUUUUAAAAGAAAGAUUAUAACCAAAACCUUUGUUAUUCUCCUUCCUCCCUAUGAGAAUGAGAAUGAAAAUAAAAAUAAAAAUAUGAACAUUAUUGGGUAAGUAAGUUUAUUGGAUCAAUGUCUGGUUUUACUCAAAACCCGUUAUUUUUUUUUUAUAGAUUUUUCAUUUUUUAAAACCAUAUCCACUCAAUCAUCCAACCCAUUUUUUUGGAUGGAUUUGAGGGAUUUUUUUGGGUUGACUCAACCCAUUUAAUAUACACCCAUAAAACCAUAAGGAAAGGCAUAAAAUUAUUACUCCCUCCGUCCCAAAUUGUAUGUCACUUUAGAAAAAAUAUUUGUCCCAAAUUGUAUGUCGCUUUACAAUACCAAUGAAAAAUUAAUGUUACUUUUCCUAUUAUAUCCUUAACUAUUUAUUACUCUCUCUUCUUUCAAUUCCUUCAUUUAUCUUUCUCAUAUCAUUUAUUGAGGAUAAUUUUGUAAAACAACUCAUAAUAUCUCUUUCCCACACAAUAUUAAUUACAUUUCUUAAUAUGUGUGAAAUGCCCAAAACGUCAUGCAAUUUGGGACGGAGGGAGUAAAUGUAUAACAUCUAUCGAGACAAAAUAUGAUAGUUUACCUCUAUCAGAUAAAAUUAAUUGCACUAUUCUUAAUAAUUACUACUCCCUCCGUUCCAAAUUGUAUGUUGCUUUAGGGAAAAAAAUUUGUCCUAAAUUGUAUGUCGCUUUACAGUUACUUUUUCUAUUAUAACCUUAACUAUUUAUUACUCUAUCUUAUUUCAAUUCUUACAUUUAUUUUUCUCAUAUUAUUUAUUAAGUACAAGUUUGUAAAACAACUCAUAAUAUCUCUUUUCCACACAAAAUUAAUUAUAUUUCUUAAUAUAUGUGAAAUGCCCAAAACGUCAUACAAUUUGGGACGGAGGGAGUAAUAUUUAUGUAUCAUAACCCCUUUCAAAAAAGAUAUUUCUGUAUCUUAAUAAUUAAAAUUUCUAUUUAUUUAAAUAUAAUUAAAUUUAAUUCAUUUUAAUAUAUGAAUUUUCUGCCAAUUUUUUUAUAAUAUAUCAAGUAGAUAUAACACUUAUGUUCCCACACCUACGCUUCACUCUUCUUUCAUACUAGUAUAUUUUAUUUUUUAUUUCACCCUUUUCUCUCCUUUUAUAGAAAAUUAUCAAAGAAUUCGAUUAAAGUACGAUCCAUGAAAGAUGAAUCUUCCAGAUCGUUUACUGUCACUGUUUGACCGCAUGUUCUUCCUAUUCUCUUCCGACAUUUUUCUACCAAAACAUGUUUUAUGAAAGCAAACUACCUUUUGUUUUUGGAAUGAGAAAGGAACUACCUUUGAAAUGGGUUAUUUUUAUGUGUUUGAUAUAUUUUCAACCAGUGAAAACCACCUUUAGACACAACUCCACCACCACUAAAUUCCUCUUCUACAAUUUAAUUUCAUGAACAUUUGGAAUGUACUCACUUCGAUUACUAUUAUAAAUAAAAAUCAAUUUUUUAGAUUCAUUUAUUAAAUUAUGUAUUUGAUCUAUAAUUAGUAAAGUCAAGAAUAAUUGAGUUUAGAAGCUUUUACCGAAAAUAGUGUUUGUUGGGUUCGAAGCAGCUAUAUUGAAAGCAGCAUCACCAAUCAUUCUUUCAGAGUCUUUGAAUGCAACAAAAGAAGGUGUUGUUCUCUUCCCUAGGUCGUUCACUAUUAUAUCUAUCUCUCCAUUCUUACACACUGCAACACAAGAAUAGGUUGUUCCUAGGUCGAUUCCUAUUGCUACUUUCUUACCUCUUCCUGACAUUUCUUUCUUUGCAAUCACUCACAGGUAACAAAGUUUUGAGUAGAAAAUAUAGAACGAUGAGUUUUGAGAAUAAAUUGUUGUUUGAGCUGUUUCAUUAAAUGUAAAGAUUUGUGCAUAUAUAUAAUAAUAUUAGUCUUACUAUCACAAAGUAGUACGUGUAAAAUUUCAACAUUCUCUCAACUUAUAAGUGAAUAACAAAAGUUUAAUAUAUAUUUUUUUUAAAUAGACAAAAUGACAAAGUCAUCAUAAACUCGCAUACACGAAGUAGAAAUAUUAGGAUUCGAACCCCAGUUAUAACGUCUGACCUAACAAAAAGUAGAAAUAUUGGGAUUCGAACCCCGAUUAUAACGUCUGACCUAACAAUUUGUCAUUUUUUGCUAGUUGAACUAUGACUUAUGUGACACAAAAGUUUAGUAUUUUUUUUUUUUAUUUGUCGAGAAAAGUUUAGUAUUCUACUAAUUGAUAAAUGCUAAAAUAUAGCCAUGGGCACUUAUUAGCAUAUGACCCUUGAUAAAUUAAAAUCACUCAAAAAUAGAAGGAUUCAAAUUAUUCAAUUAAUAAUAUUUUUUCCGUCUCAAAUUAUAAAUCCUUUUAAAAAAAAAUUGUUUUAAAUUAUAAAUCAUUUCAUAAUACCAAUAAAACGUUAAUUUAAUUUUUCAAAUUAUAAUUUAAACUAUUUAUUAAGUAUUUUUAUAUCUAAUAAUUUUUUAUACUAUUUUUUCGAGGGACAAAUGAGUCAACAAAAUUGUUGUAUCUAUUUUAUAAUAUGUACUAAAUACAUUAAUAUUUAUUGAUCUAUUUUUCUCUUACAAAAAGAUCAACAAAAGUGUUUAUUAAGGAGAUUAUUAGAAAUGUCCUAAGCAUAUCACUUUCAGCUAGAAUUUAAAUAACCUUAUCGUUUUGAAAUAACAUAAAGUUAUUGAUGUUCUAUAGUAAUUUAUUUGGUGAUAAGCAUAUCAAGUGAGGUAGGAGAGAUGCAUCAUAUCAGUGAGCUGUAGGCAAGUGGAUAAGUUGAUUUUAAAGCAUAUGAUUAUUUGGGGUGUACAACAUCACGUCAAUUGGAGCCUCAUCUUUUGAGGAAAUAUCAGUCUUAUCUUAUGUUAUCUUUUGGAUUGAAUGAGACCCAUAUACCCAAGUAGUCUUAUGUUAUCUUAUCAAAAUGACUCCAUCAACCAAUAAACAUUCAUUAAAAGCCUUACCCAGUGGCCCUCAUCCAACAAAUAUUCUUUUAUGAACACAAUUUCUCAUUAGAAAAAACACAGAUUUAUUUUUAAAUAAAAAAAUGAAACUUUUCCUUAGUACAAACAAUCCAACCACACACUGUCCAAUCCAACCACACACUACAAUACGAAUGAAUUUUCACUUUAUCCAACAACUGAUCAAUACUGUUUUUCUUGUGGCUAAAUAGUCUAUUAUUAUGUUCCACAUGAAAGACAAAUGAGCUGCAUAAAAGAUCGCUGCGCAACCAACCCACCUGUAGAAUAAGUAAACUGAACAAAAUGACCAGAAAUACUAUAAGGAUCGGUCAUGGAAACACCUAUCCAAUCACGGACUAAAUGCCAAAGAUCCCUGAUAAUUGUACGAGAAAGAAAUAAAUAUUGAGCCGUUUCGAUUUCUCCACACCUGGUCAUACACAAAUGCGUGUCAUGAUUUAGGAUUCCAUGCAUCACCAAAUUUUGGACAAUACCGUUGCCUAAGGAAGAAAGGAGUGUCGAAGGAAGAAUUCAACCUGAAGGUUGAAAAUCAGAAGGAAAUUAAGAAGCCUUAAGGACAGGGGCUACCGAGCACAAGUUAGACAUAUCUGUCAAGCUCAUGACAUAAAAAACGCGCUCAAUAGGAGACAACCUAUUCCGUCAAGCUAAGGACUCAAAAGAAGCGUUGAAUAUAAGACAACUUAUUGAUCGUCGGGACUAAGACAUUAAACAAUCGCUAAAUGGGAGGCAACCCAUUAGUUUAUCUUUUCUGCAUUUCUAUUUUUUGCUAAGUUAUGAUUUCCUAACUAAUGUCAUUUCUUAUUCUGCUACUAAUACUUAAGUUUUAUCUUAUAAAAUUGUAUUUUUUUUUUUUUUUUUGCAUUUACAAAUACAACAAUUUCUUUUAUGCUUUAAUUUUGUUUUAGUUUUAGGAAGUCACUUCAAAGUGUUCACAGUGGAGGCUAGUUUACUUCAAGAGCACAAUACUUUUUGGGGCUUGCUACUGAAGGUACUUAUAGGAUCAACAUCUCUUUUCUGAAUGCUAUUUUUUCUCGAAUUUGCUGUCGUUCUUUACGGACGAUCAGUUAAAAUAUAAUAAACAUAAGACAUUUUUUUCUUUGGUACCUUGAUACUUUCAAGCCACCCUUUUUAUAUUCUUAUUAUCCUUUUUGAAACCACUUUGAGCCUUCAGAAGAUAUUUCUUUCUUAUUACUAAGUGACGAAUCAUGUCACAGUCCUGAACUUUAAAAUCACCUUGUUUGAUUUCUCUUGGAGUUAGAUAUGAUAUUAUCUUGACUGUGUAUGGUUUGAUGCUUAGUUUGACGUUGCUCUUUGGAAUUAACAACAUUUUAUGUUUGGGGUGGGGUAAUGAUGGUCGGAUUAGGCAAGUGUACCCAAUCGUUUACCGAGUACUAAAGUGAUAAGUAGAGUAUCGUAUCCACAUGGGUUGUCGUUUCUUCGAAAUAAUUCGUGUUACUUAUUUUAAAUUGACGAUAUAAAAUAAAAGAGAUAAGGGUUAGAAAUUGCAAUUUUUAUAAGUUUGCAACAUAGCAAGUUACCUGUUUUUUGUUACAUAAAAGGAAACAGCGGUUAGGACUCUUUAAAUCCCCUCUAUUUACUUUGUUGGAUAUUGAAUAACAUUCAUUAAUAGACUAUACAAGUGAUGAGAUUGUUGGGACAUUCUAGCCUAAUCGGUUGUCAAGUUGCACCUGCUUAUCGCACAGUGAUCCUUACGUGUGGGGUCUAUACUAUCUCGGUUGAUUUAGGUUUAUCCCUCUGAUGGCUAACUGCACUUGACGAUCGCACAGUGAUCCUUACGUGCGGGGUCUUGCUAAUUCAAAGGUAAUUGAAACAUAUACUUAAAUUGGCAUUCCAGGUUUUCCAAAGGCAAUGAAGGCCAAUGUUGCAGUAGGUCAGCCCAUCUGUUAAUCUUAGGACACUCAUAACACACUCUCAUUUUCCCCUAAGUAGUUAUACAAACGAGCAGCCCUAUCAACAUCUACCUUACCUAGAGGUCGGGGACAAUGGUUUUAUUUAGGUUUAUUUCUCUUGGUGUUUGUUUCCCUAAUUACUAAACUAGCUACAUCCGAGGUUCAACAUAUUUUACUCAAUAUUAAUAAUGUCACAUCCUAAGUACCUACUACUAGGGUCAACUCUCUUUUGGUAUCUUUCGCUAGUUUACUAAUCAUCUACUUUCUAGACGGAUAAUUACUAGUAUAAGGAAAUAAAUAUCAAGAUAUAAGCAUCCAGAUAGUAAUAGAAAUGUCAAGCCCUCUCACGAAGUAAGUAUCUAAUCUAGGGUUGCACCCCGCCAUAAUAUAUUAAUCUUAAGCAAAACUUAACAGCAAAUAAAAAAUAUAUUAAAAUAAAAUGACAUUAAAUUAAAUAAUUAUCCAACAAACGCAAACCGAUGUUCAUCUUAGAACCCUAACCUAUAGAUAUCUAGUUACACAUGAUAACUAAGACAAAAAUACAAAAAGAUAAAAAUAUAUCCUAGAAAAUAUAGGAGAAGAUAUAACUCCUCCUUGACUCCUAUAAUAGCCUUCCUAUUGAACUGCUCAAGUUCUGAACGAGAAAUUGUGAAUGAGGAAGACUAUAUUUGUAUAGAAAGUUUUCACCUAACUUGGACUAAAAUCACAAACUUCUAGGGACGAAAAAGUCACGAAAAAUGAUUUUUUUCGCAAAACUCAUGUGUCCCGCGCCUAGAGUCAUGCGCCUAGCGCAUGUGCCUGGAUCUUUCAUGCGCCAGGAGCUUACAAAUUGCUAUGAAUGUGGCAAGUCUUAUAAAAGCUAAUCUUAUUAUCUAAUCCUAAACUACAAUGCAAACAAAACAUCAAAAACCCUAAUCCUAUGUUUUGAGUGGGAAACUAAUGCUUUAACCUCACUUAAUGCCAUUUUUGAAUUUCAAAUCAUGUACCCUUUUGGAAUGUGUGCUCAUGUGGCUAAUUAAAUGCAGAUUUUGAAAUUCAAAUAUCCCACCUAUUGGAAUUGUGCUCCCUUCUUUCCAAGACAUGCAGUUACCCACUUCCCAAUGCAAAGGAAUCUGAACCAAACAACUACUUCCUUGCAUUUUGCUCUCUCUCCCCUUUCACGCCCAUUUUUCUCUCUGUUCAGAAAAAGUCAUCAAUUUUCAGUCCCUCUUAUCUUCUCUCUCACUUCAGUUCCUCUCUAAAAAAAGCAUCUUCUCUUCUCACACUUUAUUUCUUUUCUUCAUUUUCCGACAUUCUUCUUCAAUUCUCCCUUUCUCUCUCAUUGUUUCUCGCAUGGCUCUUCGUGUCUUAGGUUUGGGUGUUCUCUUCAUCGCCGGCCAGCCUCACCAAGGCAAUAAGCAUCUUCAAGUUUUAUUGAAGGAAAAUGCUUCUAUGCAACAAAAUUUAUAUGAGCUUCGAUCCCUCGGGUAUGCGUUUUCAGUUUCGUUACAUUUUGAUAUCGUGAUUAGGGUUUUGGUAUCACUGGUGUUAUUUUGAUUGAUUUUUCCGAUUUGAUAGGAAGGGAGCUUGAAGAAGCGGGAGUUCUUAGUGAAUCGGCACAGUCGCGGAAGGUUUUUCUUUUCAUCAACGAUCUUCUCUCUCAUUCGCUGCUCUUCGAAUGUAGUGUUUAAAGAAAUUUUUUGAAAUGUGUAGACACGAAAAACUUCCAUUAUUAUUAAAUUUAAAGUUAUGACAUUUGAAAAUAUGUGAUGUAUUUUUGUUUUUCUCUAAUACAUUUACAUUGCCGCACGGAUGAAAAGUCUAGAUCGACCACCCUUGCCUAAAAUUUUUGUAAUUUACCAGCAUGAUUUUUUCCCUUUUUAAAUUGUAUUAUUAUUUUUUAACAUUGUAUUUGCACAAACAGAUUAUUAGUUACAAUAUAAUUAAAUGUUUUUUUGCCAUCAAUAUGACCCGUGCAGCAGCACGGGUGCAAGGUCUAGUAGCAAGCAAUCCUACAAGUUGAAAGGAAAGACAAGAGGAUGAAGGCUGACAUUUCAUGGGUAGAUGAAACUAUGGAAGCUUUUAGAAAAAUAAUUUCUCAAAAAAAUUAUCAUGCAUCUCAUGUAAAUGAGCAUAUUGUAUAUAAGUAUAUUGAAUCUUCUAAGGUUUUAUUUUUUAUUUUUUUAGGGAUGAAUCUUCUAAGGGUUAUCAUAAAUUUUUGGAUGUCGAAUAUUGUGAUGGUUUUACUAGCAUACAUAAAGAGAUAUUAUCAUUAAAAAGCAAACAAGAACACGCCUAUAAACCUCAAAUAGAAUUUGCUACGAAGUCAAAUGGUGUUACACCUUCUUUUAAAAAACCUUACAAGAAAUACUCUUAUGUUAAAAAUAUUGAUAGCAAAUCCUAUGUCAUUAUUGUGGUAAAAUGGGACACACCACACUUCAUUCUUACAUUAUAAAAAUUGAAGUUUUUAAGGCUUUGUUUGAGAGUUUGGAAGGGAAGGAAAGGAAGGGCUUUGAGGGGUGCAAAAUAUGAGGAUAAAUAGAGAAAUUCUUCAAAAUUUUUAAAAGAGUAGUUUUUUAGAUAAUGAUAAAUUAAUGCAUAUGAUUACUUUAUUUUUAAUUUUAAAAAUAUUAUGACAACAUAGAUUAAAUUUGAAGAAGGGUUUUGUAUUAUGGAGAAAAGUUAACCAUAAUGAGGAGGGUCUUAUUAACCCUCCAAAACCCUCUACCAAUACAAUUCUUUAGUUCCUCCAAAUGAGGAGGGUUUUGUAUUAUGGAGAAAAGUUAACCCCCCAAAGCCCUCCUUCCCAUUUUCCUCUAUUUCUUCUACUUGCUCAUUCCUUUUUUCCCAAGCCUUCCCCUCCAAACUCGUAAACAAAACCUAAAGAAAUCAUGAUGUCAGUCACAAAGGGGUAAAGAUCCCCUCCAUUUAUAAAAAGAAAUAGAAGAUACAAUUUGAAAAGAGAUAAACACAAAAAAUAGUUGUUGAGUCUCAAUACUAAGUGGAUUCCACCAUCAUUAAUUAUUUUUUACUUUUUGUGUAUUUUUAUCUCUCUAAAUGGAACUAAUGAAAAAAAUUAUAAAUGAAGAAGAUCUUAACCCGUCACAAAGAGUCCCAUUUAUACAACCACAAAAAGGAAAUAUUUUUGCUCUUUACCCAACAAUUUUUGCUCAUUCCCAGCUGAAAUGCCACUACUUGAGUUAACUCACGUUAGUGUAAAAUUUGUGUGAGUUAAAACAUGCAGUGUGAGUUAACUCACGUUUAGUAAUAUGAUUUUUUUUUUUUUCCGAAUUUAUUUAAUAAUACGCAAGGAAGGAAGGAAGAAAGGAACAUAAAUAAUACAAAAUAUUAUUUAGAUGACAAAAUCAUAAAAUAAAUGCUAAUAUAAAUAAAUAAAAAGGAAGAAAGGAACAUAAAUAAUACUUAUAAAACCUCAUUUUAUUAAUUAUUGAUACAUUUACAAAAAUUGUUACAUUUUAUUCGAAAUUAUUAAAUCUGAAUCUUUGAGGUAAAAAGAGACCAACCAUGGGAUAACAGAGAAUCAAUGUUGGGGAAAAAAGAGACCAACCUGCUUGGGGCAAAAGGAUAUCAAUCCUUGAGGUAAAUCUAAAUCUGGUUUUUUUUGAUACCCCAAGAAAGAGUCUUUUUACCCACGGUAAAAAAAAUUUGGGGUAAAAAGAAGCAAAUUUACUUUUACCCCAAGGGUUGACCUCUUUGUGCCGCCAAAUCGGUUGGCCUAUUUUUUCCCCUCCCUUGACCUUUUUUUACCCCUCGAUUGACCUCUUUUUACCCCGAAAAAAGCUAAAAAAACAAAGACUAUAAAGGUGAGAGAGUGAGGAGGAGGAGAGAAUGUAUGGUGUGAGGAAAUUGUGAGUUUUGGAGGGGUAUUUAUAGGGAGGAAUGGGUAACGUAGGUUUUAUAUGCACUAAAUGCAGUCAAAAAAGUUAAAAAAAAAAGUGCAAAAAUGGAUUAAAAUCAAGGUUGAAUAACUAACCACCGUCCAAAAAACGUGUUCUUGGUGCAUGAAAAAUCGGCCACAAUAGCGUGAGUUAACUCACGCUAGUGUUAUAAUCUGCGUGAGUUAACUGAAGAUUUGCAUUUCCCCUAUAAAUAUUCUUUCAACCUUCACCAUUUGUCACAUUCUCUCCUCCUCACUCUCUCCUCCUCUUCCUUCUCCGAUAUUUGCAUUCAUUUUGUAGAUAUAUCUCAAAAACAGGGUGAUGCUGCUCAAUUAAAAAAAGAGGGCGAGAAAAAGAAAGCUAAGUCGACUUUGACAUGGCACGAAAUCAAAUGUGAUGGUUCCGUUAAAAAAAGUGAUUUGAAACCAUUCCAGACUGAGGAGGAGCGGAAUGACAUGUUAUUUUGGUCCUCAACCAAAAGCAGGUGCCACUAGGAUUGUCGAGGACAACCCAAUUGACUUAAGCGACGAAGGAGAUAAUUAAUGUAAUGACUUGUAAUAAAGUUGGAUGUUUUUCUACAUUCCUUUCUAAUGUAAUGGCUUGAAUAAUUUUGAAUAAAGUUGCGUUUUGAUUUAAAUUACGUAUUAACUAACUAACACUAGCGUCAAUACACAGAAAACAUAACUAGUGUGAGUUAACUCACUCAGGGAUAAUAUGGUCUUUUCAGUUGGGAGCGAACAAUUUUUGUUGGGUAAAGAGCAUAAUUCAAAAGGAAAAGAAACCUAGAUGAUAGUUUUUCAAGGCACGUGACAGCAGAUGCAUCUAUGCUGAUUGAUUUUCCAAGAAAGGAGCGUGGAUAUGUCCCAUAUGUUGAGAAUAAUAAAGGCACAAUUUUAGGUAAAGGUUUUGUAGAAAGAUAAAUGCUAGCAACACUUACUUUUCAACACUCUCCUCCAACAAUGUUAUUAAAGAUGUUAUCCAUGUUGAAUGAUUUAAACACAAUCUUUUAUGCAUAAGUCAAUUUAAUGAUAAUGGGUAUUUAAUUACUUUUAAUAUCAAAGUUGCAUAAUUGAGCACAAUACUAAAAAGGAAAAUGAGUGGAAAAGGAGUUGACGAAUCAAUAAGUGAGAGGGACUAACUCCAAAAAAAAAUAUGACAAAGGGUCAAAUCCCAAAAAAGCAAAAUUGACAAAAUCUUUAAUCCUUUCAUCUUCUCAAACACUACUCUUAACAUUUUCUCCAUUAUCUUUGUCCAAAAUCUUUCAUAUUCAUACCUAACACCUCUUAAUCUUCAUCUAGAACUGAAAAUCCAUAAUCUAACAACCCAAAACCAUCAUCAACAUAAAAAUCAUAAAUUACCACAAAAGUUUACAACCAAAUAGACGAAAGAUUUAGAAAGAAAAAAAAAUUAACAACAAGAUAAAAUGAUUUGCUCUCUCAACCUUAAUAUUUGUUUGCAUUCAUCUUUAAGUUUAACAACAUUUUUCAAAGAAACUGCUUCAAAUGCCACAUUAAACCACAUUGAAGCACAAAAACCAUCUAAAUUUACAAACACGGUUCCUAUAGUGUAAUUCUUAUUAUAGCCAACAGAAACUUCAAUUUCUUCAUCCCAUUGGUUGGUCAUUUCUAAAAUAAUGGAAUCAAUUUAGAACCAAAUGUUGUAACUCUUCAUGGAAAUCUUUCAUAUACAUUGGAACAUUUGGCAAAGGGGUACUUAAUGAACCUUAGCCUUGAUUCAAGUGUAUAUGAUCAUAACCUUUGACAAAGGGAUGUUUAAUGAACCAUAACACUGAUUCAAGUCAAAUGGGUGUGUUCUCCCAUGUGAAGGCUCAUAUAAUGACAUAGAAAUAAUUAUUGGCAUUUGGGAAUUAUUUGGACAGAAAAAACAUGAAUUUUGUUACAAUAAUAACAUAAUUCUCUCUCAUUCUCUUACUCUAAAUCAUCAAUCAAUUCUCUAAUGCAUGAGUAAAUUGCUGAAACCAUAAACCUGUAAAAUACUGUUAGGAGAUACAUUUGGUGUGGUUGUGUAAUACACAUCAAGGAACUCAUAAUAUCUUGAAUGGGAUUCACUGAUCAUUCCCAUCACAUCCAAUAUACAGUUAUUGGUGGGGCGAAUCGUGUAACACCCCGUUUUCCCAACUUAUAAGUUUGAACAAUAAUCAGAGUAAAACGUCACAUAAACGGGAUAUCGCACUUCUUAAAAAUCUCAAAUAGAUAAAUAACAAUUUAUCUUUCAAAGUAAACUUCAACGUAAACGCAGCGGAAUUAAUUCGAAAACCAUAAAUUGUCUUGGCACGCAGGCUUCAUCAAAUCACAUCAUAACUUCAGUUCAACAACAGUAAUCAUAAUUUCAAAAGUUAAUACAUAAAGGAAUAGAAGCAUGCAAUCAAAGACCCCAUCCCGUUACGUAUCAGAGCAACCUAAGACUCAGUGAGGCAAGGCCACUCACGACAGCACUGAUACAAAAUUAGCAAGUGUACUAAAAAUAUAUCGAAGUAAUAAAAUUUAUAAGUUCAUAUCCACAGGGACUGUUUCAAUUUCUACUUGGAAAAAACGUUAAAAUAAAGGAUGUAUUAAAUUCAAGAGUUCCCUAGGCAGUUGAGUUGAUUUUUGUAACAUAAACGUAAUAAAAACAAUAAAAGUUGGUUUUUAGAAAAUUAGAGAAAGAACUAGGUCUUUUGAAUCAUCUAUUCAUCACUCAUUAGUAAUCUGCACCUAAAUCGUAUGACUGUUAUUCAGUUUACAACAAUUAACAAAAUAGCUCAGGUCAAUCCCUUGACUCAGAGCCCUCUUUUCUAAUUAUAAUUCCCUAAUUCCUUAGGUGAACCUAUAAUCAUCAAAGGUUUUAAGUCCGUUAAUUUUAUAAUCGCAACCUAACAACUUUCCAUCCCUAGAUUGUCCGUGAACAGCAUAAAUAAAUCUGAGUUAUAAGCUGGUGUCAGCAGUCCUAUAAUCUCUAAUAUCAAUUAUAUUGAGUCAGAAUCAUAAAAGCAUUACACACAAUUUAUACCGAAUAAACUAGAAUAACUUUCAUAAUAAUUCAGAGCUACAGAUUACUUGGUCAUGAGCUAGAACAGAAUCAUCUAUGACCUAAUCAAUGGAAAUUAGCCACUCAUAAUAAAAGAAUUUAAACAACAAGGUUAAAAGAAAUUACAAAGAGGUGUUUUGCUCAUCAGAAUUUCUUCUAUCCGUGGUGCAUACCGUCUUCUAUCUCUCUAUGCGUGCGUGCGUGCGUUUUGCUUUGGAAUCCAUUCUUUCCAUUCCAUGCUCUGUCCCCCAAAACCGUAAUGCAUAAAACGUGAAUCCUCAGGCGGUAUGUGGCUAGCUUCUUAUAUAUAUCAUUGUGACCUGGUUGCUAUUUUUAAUUCUUCUUCGGGUCACAUAAUCUUGGGUCAAAGCCCACUUGUUUUCUUAAUGCAAAUACUUGAAUUAUUUUCACCACUCAUUCAAUUAUUAUCACACUUUUGUUUUUCUUGGUUGGCCAAUAAACUUAUUUCCUUCCUUCAAGUGGCACUCUAAUUGACCAAUAGAACACUAGUAGACUUAAUAAAUUAAUAACAACAAUUUAUUUAAAAUGACUCUAAAUUAAAUAUUAAACUAAUGAAAAUAGACUAAGUAGUUAACUAAAAAGACUCCAAAUAAAGUGUAUGACUGACUGUCAUCAAACACAACAGCAACCUACUAUGGAUUACCUGCAAGUUACUCAUACGAAUAACAACAUUUCCAAGCAGAAGGGGUGAGAUUUCACAAAACAAUAAUAUUAAGCAUAUAAUUCAACAAUUAUAUUUAACAACAUAAAACAUCUUAUUAAUCAACACUGAUAAUAAUAUUUCACAAAUCACUUCAUAAUAAUUUCAACUCAAUCAUUUAAUCAUCAUCGACUCGACAAAUGUGACUAUGCAACUUAGACCUCUUAUAUGCAUGUGGUACCAAUACAGGGCAUAAAGCCCCCAUCGUUAUUUGAGUAUUAAUAUACUUCUAGGGCAUCAAGCCCCCAUCGCUAAUUUUGAGCUAAUGCUCCAACGCGGUGAGUACAAAAAUCCAGGGCAUCAAGCCCCCAACUAUGAAUGCUAAUGCAUGGACUCGACCUCUUAAAACAACUUAAUUCGACAACCUCUUAUAUUAGUCCAAUAAUUUGGAACAUCAACAUCUUAGACCGACUCAUGCAGCUUAGUUAAAUAACAAACAACAACAUGUGCAGUGUACAACAACAUGACAUAAUUAUAUCAAAUUCAAUUCAUCAGCAUCUUUUGUAUACAAACAUUCUUCAAGUAAUGCAUAAACUUUAUAACACUUCAUAAUCAGCAACAACAUAUCUUAUUCAUCUUCACAGAUUACGGUUAACCUCACUAUUAAGUCUUAAUCCUACCCAAGGGUCCGAUCCUCGACAACCCAUGCAACAAAGGUCGCAAAAUCUAACAAGUCACUAUGUUUCUGGGUCACUCACGAGGCGAGGGCCUCUGCUCGCCGUGGCGAGUUCAGGUUAGAAUCCCAUAAGUUUAAUUCCAGGUUCAAUCUCGUCCUACACUCUUCACUAAUCAAUAUUCGACAUGUUCAGGCACUCAAAGGCAUCUAAGGUUCAACUCAAAAAUCAAAUAUACGAAAUCUUACAUGCUCUCUGGUCAUGCUCGCUAUGACGAGUUCAUCUAUUCGCUGUGGCGAGGGAGAAUGGUUCGCUUGGAGAGCGAUGAACUUCAUCACUCGCGAGGUGGGGAUCAUCGUUCGCGAGGGCGAGCGAUGAAUGUAGGCUCGGGCAGAAGUGCAAUUUUUACGAAAAUUCAUCUUUUCACAUGGUUUUAAGCCUAACAUUGAUUCCAUAAUUCAUCCUACAUAUUAUCUAAGGUCUAGGAACAGUUUCUACAUCAAUCUAACAACUUUUCACCGUUUAAUCAUGAAUUCACUCAAUUUGACCUAAUUUCAAUUUUUCUUAAAACUCAUCCUAAUUCAUGCUAAAUAUAACCAUUGAUUCAUAGACUUAAUAAGAUUGCAAAGUUAGUCGCACCCUUACCUUGUUUUGCAUGUUUUCUUUGUAAGUUGCUCUCUGUACAUCAGUGGCAUAUGCAGGAAGCUCUUCAUACCCAUUAUGCACAAGAUCACUCACAUCUUGUGCGCCAAACAAGGAUCUCAUCAAGGCACUCCAUCAUUCCCAGUUCUUGCCAUUAAGAAUCAAAAUGUUUGAUCCAAAACCGUUAUUGUUCAUCUUCAUUAUUCUUCAAGAAACCAGAGAAAUUAGUGCACACACUUCACUCAGUGUUUUCCAAUGAUGAUUCCGCUCACUUUUCACUCGUGUUUCACUAUGGAUUUAACCCAAGCUCUCUAUACCAAUUGUUAGAACAAAAACUGUGUUCUAUGCAGCAAAAGUGCUUAUAGAAAUAAGCUGUUUUGGGCAAGAUGAGAAAAUAACAGAAAGUUGUAAAACUAAAGAGAAAAUAAUGGAGAGAAUAUAUUUGCAAUGUGAAUCUCAUUCAUCGUAUUAAGUUUCACAAUACAAAGCCUUAUAUAGGCACAAAAGAGUCACUUGCUUGUAGAGCAAGUAAUCUCACUAACUAUUAGAUUUUGAAACAAACUUAACUAACUAUUAGUUACAUGGCAGUUAUUGAUUAAGAUUCUAAUACUCCCCCUUAAUCAUAACUGCUGAACAUCAAAAAUACCUAGUUUCUUCCUCAAAAAUUCAAAUACGUGAAGUUUCACUGCUUUUGUAAAACCAUCUGCAAGCUUCACUGCUUUUGUAAAACCAUCUGCAAGCUACAGUUAUUGGUUAAUAUUCUAACAUCUUUCAUGAUUGGAAGAUUGAGGAAUUUCUUGAUUUCACAUCAUUGGAAGAGUCUCUCAUAGGGGAACCAGACAAAUAAUAGUGAGUUUUCAUCUUUGUGAAUCAAGGAGAUAAUGGUGUUUGUGUUGCCUUCAAACACCAUAAAGAAAACAAGAUCAUCGCGAAAAUUUAUAGGAAUAAAGUGAUUCAAGUCCUUCUACAACAAAUGCACUAGAGUGGACGAGGUCAAUAGGUAACUGGUGAAAUUGUAAUUGCAAUAUCAUUUUCAAUGCAUCGAAACCCAAAGAGGAAUGCAGGAAUUUGUUAGAUAGAAUGAACAGUCCAAAUUGAUGGAGCCGCGCUCUUGUGUGGUGAAGAACACAUGAUUUCCUUUGUCUAGACUUGGGUGGUGAGGAUCGUGAUUCAAUGGACCACCAUGUGUUUGGUCGACGAUUUGGGUUGGGGAAAGUCUGAAACAGUUAUAAACCAUUAAGAAGUUUGUAUAGAAUGCAUUAAACAUUUACAGUACUAUUAAAUUUUAUAUAGGCAUAAUUCAUCCACAUAAUUUGAUAACAGGAAAUCGACAUCAGAUAUUCGUUGAUUUCUCAUAGAUCCAUCUUAACUGUAGCAACUGUUAAGGGAAAUAUGGCUGUAUUGCUUCUAGAGGACAUUCUAAAAUUUAAGAAUUCUCAUUUUAUAAGCUUGAUGUUGAUGUAUAUUAGUUUGCUUGUAUACAGGGUCAUGGCUUCCCAAUUGAGAAUUAACAUUAGCGAACUCUCGUCCCUUCGAGGACGUCCGGAAAAAUUGGAACGAUACAGAGAAGAUUAGCAUGGCCCCUGAUAGAUAUUUUUAGCAAGUGCACUAAAUACUAUCGAAGUAGUAAAAAAUAUCGUUCCCACAAGGACUGUGUUAAUCUCAAUUUAGAAAUAAAGUAAAUAUUUAGGAUGUAUAAAUUAUUUUGUUUAGAUUUUAUUUGAUUGCAUAAAAUUAAAUAACAUAAAAUAAGAACAAUUCAAUUCUGUUUAAGUAGAAAGCUAUGGUCAGUAGUCAUUCAUUCUCACUAAAUCAUGUUUAUAUUUGAUCAGAAUAUAAAAAGCAUUAAGAACAAUUGAAUUGAAUAAAAACUAGAUUGUCAUUCACAAUAAAUAGAGUUUCACAGCAACAUGGUUCAAUUAGGGUUACAAAGAAUCAUCUCAGACCUGAUCUCUAAGAGAUUUAGCUACUCAUAAUUGAGUUUACAAAUAGCAUAAUCAAUAGUGGAACCAAAACAUACAUGAACUGAUAGAAGGUUGAAGAAAUCGCCCUCCUAGCCGUCUUUAGGUCUCAAAAUCGCACUUUGCUCUCUCCAAAUCGUAACCCAUUGUCUUUGGAAUAGACUUCAGCUUAAAUAGGCACAGAAUUUCGCCUAAAAUGGUGCCACGAUUUAAGUAAAUCGUGACACGAUUCUCCUUGAAUCGCAAAUCACUGAAUUAGGGUUUCCUCAUAUCGUGCCACGAUUAUGCCAUCGUGACACGAUUUCUUCAAUGUCGAAGCUUGAUUUUGGUCUUCUAAAAUCGUGUCACGUUUUUACCAAAUCGUGACACGAUUCUCUUCUUUGUAUUUUCUUCAGUUUUCUACUCUUUUGCUGCAUAAGUUGCCUUGUGAACUCCAAUUUGUGAUCAAACUACAUAUAAAAAGACUCUAAAAAUAGCGAAUGAUGGACUGUCAUCAGCCCCUGCGCAAGGAUGACACGAGAACAUUACCGACGUCUCAUAUUGAUAACAAAGUGACAUAGUUAGCAAGCCUAGGAUAGAUAAUUAGCUGUUUUAAAGAGCUUUUGAAUUUGUAAAAAUGUGCAUCAAAAUCUUCAUUUCUUCCUUGCUUAUUAUCAUUAACCAUUUUUUCUAAAACCUCUUACCAAUAAGAAAAUUGAGUUAUUUAAAACGGGCUUUCGCUUUUGUAUUGACUUGUGGAUUUAGUCCUUUUUAUUAAGGUUCCUCAUUUCAUUAAGAUUUCUUGUGGUCACUUUUUCCACUGAUGUGGCGUUUGCUUUUAAAGAUUCAUUUGACGCCAAAACUGCAUCUUAAAAAUCCUUUUUGAUUUUGUGCCUUAGCCUCUCAGCUAAUAGAACAACCUUGGCCUCUUGAAUACUUGAAAAGUAAUAUAAUUUUCUGUAAAUAGAUAUUAUUAUACCUUAUUUUAGCAAGUUUCAUAGAGUGAAAUGAUUAGGUGCGAAGCUAGUAGACCAGAGGUUUUUAUGCAGGCUUCAAACUAAUACUAUUAUAAUGAAUUUUCUUCCUGGCUUGAUAGCUCUCAGACGUAGGUGACAACUUGUGUCUUUUACUUUCUGUCUUUAUCUUUAGUUUGUUAUGUGUGUUGUCACGAUGUCUCGACAUCAUUCUUGACAUUACAAAUGUCUUGACAUCGUGUUAGACAUCUCUUUCUUGCGUUUCAGAAUUUCAAAAUUAUUGUUUGUUUUGGCUAAUGUAUAAGGUUUUCUUUGGGGGCUUGAUUAAUAAAAAGAAGUAUAAUAGGAGGAACUUCUAUGUAAGUUUCGUUGCCAUUUGGGAUUAAUUUUCAUGAUUAUAAGAAGGUUGGUGGUUAUAAUUUAGACAAAUAACUAGUGGAUCAUAAUUUGCUCAAAAACAAAAAACAACUAGUGGUGCAUAAUUUAAGACAAAAACAUUUGCAACGACAAGACCUUUCCGAGUACAUGUGCAUAACAAAAGACAUAGAUGAUCAUGAAGACCUUUCCAAAGAGAGAAAGAAAUACACGUCUUUUUUUUUGGUGUUUAUGCAAAGGACAUAUUUUUUAUACUCACUAGAAGUCAAGCUGACACUUUCCUCGAAAGAAAAAAAGUAGUCAAGUUGACACUUAAGCCAUCAAAAUUGAUUCAGUCAACACUUACUAAGGUUCUCAUUUCAUUAAGAUUUGUUGUGGUUACUCUUACCAAGUCAUUGAUCUAUAUGAUAGUAACCAAAUCUAGUACUUCCUCCGUCUCAUUUUAAGUGUCGUCUUUGCCAUAAAAACAGAAUGAAAUCGGAAAAUUUUUUAAACACCUAUCACCUGUACUCCCAUAAAAACCCCUUCAAAAAACUAUCAAACGGACCAAAAGUCAUAUUCAAACCGUCAUUCAGAUUCUUUCAAUGUAGAAGGGUUUUCUUAAUAAUUUAAUAGUAUUUUAUUUUAGUCAAACCUAAGUAAUUUUCUAGAACUUUCUAUUAUUAUAUUGUUUUGUUUUAUUUCGGUCUACGAGUUUGUUAUUUCUUUUGCUAUUUAAACAGAACAUUAUGUAGCUUAAAAGACACUUUUUGAUUCAAUAAAAUUAUUCGAGAUUUUCUCUCAAUUCUGGUGGAUUCCGGAAACCUUAUUUGAUAGGUUUGUCGCUUGCAACCUGUCUCUUUAUAUUUUAGGUUUAGUGUUUGCUAACCCUUGCUUCCGUAUUGCUUCAGUUGGUAUCAGAGCAGGUUUCUCCUGUUCGUUUCCUAACGUGAUCAGCCAUAGGAGAUCAACCGGUUACAAAAGGAGAAUUUGACAGUUUAAUUGCGACCGCCAAAGCUCUGUAUCAAAUGGCGACAUUGAUAACAACAACAACGGGGUUGACAACUAAGAUUGACAACCGCAACAACAACAACUGCAACUACAACCAACAACAGAAAUCCGAACAGGGGAGGACAACCAAUUCCAAUUAUUAGGGUUUAUAUGAUUACCACAUAAAGGCUGAUAUUCGAUUGUUUUACGGAACAAUGGAUGUAGAAAAAUUUUUGGAUUGGGAGAUUGAUGUUGACAGAUUUUUCGACGUCAUUGACGUCCCGGAAAGCAAGCAAGUUAAGAUGGUUGCGAACAGACUGAAAAGUAUCGCAGCUGUUUGGUGGGAUAGACUCAUUGUGCAUAGACAGAGACAAAGAAAAAACCCUAUUUCAACUUGGAGAAGGAUAAAACAGCUUAUGCUUAAAAGAUUUAACUCUCGGGAUAGAUUCUCUCUCUCACCGCUUGUAUCAAUUAAAAAUUUGGAGAGGAAGCAGCUCCCGUCGCCGCGGAUGUAUCAAACGUCGGUGAAGGGUGGUUAUGAUGAGAAUAUGAAGGAGAAGUUGAGUAAGGAUCUCGGAUAUGGUGGGAAAUUAUCGCAUGAUGCUGAUAUGGAAAAUAAGAAGGCGUUGACAAUAAAAAGAUCAAACUUCCUGUCAUGGAAGUAAUUGAUGUAUUAGUAGCAGAUAAAGAGAGUUCGACAAUAAAUGCCCAACCUGAUGUAUUUGGUACUGGUCAGCCUCAGCCUUUGCCACCAGUUGCUUCAAAAACCGUAAAGAAGUUACCUCUUAGUAAGAGGUAACUUCUUUACGGUUAGUGCAAUGACAUCAAUAAUAGAUGGCUUGAAGAAAUUGUAUGUGGAGCGAUUAAAACCAUUGGAAGUCACUUAUGAUUCAAUGAUUUUGUAUCCCCGCUACUAAAAUCAUCGGAUCUUCAAUAGCUAGCUGUUGUCGAAGAAACCACCGGAUCGAUAUGUUGUUAUAGUUAUCGACCAACAAUCUGAUUAUGUUAUUUUACAAAAAUUGUCACCACUCAUGGAUUGGUCAUCUAGUACCACGAUUGUAAAUCUAAAUUUCAUGCUUAGCCAAACACAUAUCAAAUCUAGUCUAAGUGUUUAAUGGUGUUACAAGGACAAGCGUCACAUGAAAGACAAACAAAAGCUCUCGCAAGUUGAAUUAUUGGUCGUUGAUGAAGCUGCUGCUAUUUCUUGUCUUCUACUAUUAAUGGUUAUGAAGGUAUUGGACGCUCUUUAUCAUUAAAACUUUUGCAUCAAUUGGAAGGUCAAAGCAAUGAUUCUGCCAAGACAACAGAGGGCACUGAUUCUGGUUUUAAGAAAAUUCAACUGAAUCAAUCCAUAAGAUAUGCUUCUGGGGAUCACAUUGACAACAGGCUUAGUAGAUUACCUCCAUGUAGUGAGUGUGAUCUAUACUAUGUCAAUCGGGAUACCCUAUUUUCUUAUCACAAAGAUAGUGAAUUAUUUUUUCAGCAAAUGAUGUCCUUAUAUGUCGCAUCACAUCACAAUAAUUCUAAACAGCUUUGUGUUGUAACAUUUGGAGACAACAGGGUCAUCAAGGCAUGGGAUGCAGUCACUGGUGCAAAGCAAUAUACUUUUGAGGGUCAUGAAGCGCCUAUAUAUUCUGUAUGCCCUCAUCACAAAGAAAGUAUUUAGUUCAUCUUUUGGACAACAACUGAUGGGAAAAUAAAGGCAUGGUUAUGAUAGAUAUUUAGCAAGUGUACUAAAAACUAUCGAAGUAAUACAAUUAAGUUCGUUUCCACGAGUACCGUGUUAAUCUCAAGUAAACAAUUGCAUUAUGAAAUAAGAUGAGUAAAGUUUAUUUUAGUGCCCGAGGCAAUAGGUAUGUGUGCAUAAAAAGUAAAUAACAUAAAAUAAAGUUGUUUAGAAAAGAUAGAGAGAGAUAUGAUUAGGUCUUUCGAAUCCUCUGAGGUCCCCUAAUUGGUACAAUGCACCUAUUUCUCAUGAAUAUUUCUAUAGUUUUACGAUGAUUAACUAAAAUAGCCCUAACCCUUGACUUAAGACUCUCUUCUCAGACUACAGUCCCUAAUUCCUUAGGUGAUCUAAUAUUCUUUGAAGGUUUUAAGAACGUUAACCUAAUAUCACAAAUAAACGAUUAUCCAAUCCUAGACUAAUUAACCCUGUUUAUUUGAACAUUUCAAUUAGGUCUAAGUGUGAAACCUAUGGUCAGUAGUCAUUCUCACGAAAUCAUGUUUAUAUUUGAUUAGCAUAUAGAAAGCAUUAAGAACAAUUAAAUUGAAUAAAACUAGAUUGAUAUUCACAAUAAUAGAGUUUCACAACAAUAUGAUUCAAUUAGGGUUACAUCAGAAUUUUCUCAGACCUAAUCUCUACGAGAUUUAGCUACACAUGGUGACUAAACAAGUUAUAAAAGAUAAACACAUACCCUAGAAAAUCAAGGAGAAGAUAGAUUCUCUCCUGAAGCUCCAAAGUAGCCUUCAUCUUGAACUGCUUCAGUUCUGAACCAGAAAUUCUGAAUGAGGAAUGCAAAUAUUUAUAGUGAGAGUUUCUACUUGGAUUUAGGUUAAAAGUGCGGGCUUUACCCAAAAUAAUAACAAGAAAAGACAAAUAUGCCCCGAGGUAUCAGAUGUGCUAGGAACAUUGUUCAUGUGUUAGGCGCAUGAGGUCUUUCUUGGGCCCAAUUCUCCGAUUUUCCGUCGUUUUAGGUUUUCGUCUUCAAAUAACUUGCCUCCAGACUAGGGAACAUAAUUUUUCCCUAUUGUAAGUCUUCUGAGGACUCGUGAAUCUUCAUUCUUGUCUUCCCAAGGUCUUGACAAUUCUUCAGUUUUUCUUGCUUUAAUUACUGUUUAAGCUUGCUUGUGAACUCCAAAUAUCAUAAAUUUACAUAAAAAAUUACGUAAUGACAAGAUGUCAUCAGGUUAUAUGAUAACAUGGGUUCUGGGGUUGAUUAUGAUGCAUUUGGCCAUUCAUCUACCACAUUGUCAGAUAGUGCUUCUUGCGGCACCAAUAAAGAAGGGGAGUCAUUUCUAGUGGAAUGGAAUGAAAGUGAAGGAGCUAUGAAGCAUACAUAUCAUGGUCUUAGGGAAGAGAUCUACAAGUGUAUGUUCAAUUUGAUACCACCAAGACACAUUUACUUGUUGUUUAUGAAACUCAAAUAGCCCAUAUGCGAUCCCCCAAAAUUGGAAUGCCUAAGGCAGUGGGUGCAUCGGGAAGCUAGUAGUCCAAUCCAAUCACACAUGUUACAUAUUCAUGCGAUAGUCAAUCAAUAUAUAUAAGCUUUGAAGAUGUUAGUUUGGAGAAAGAAAGUCGUGAUGAUAGAGUGUAUCAUGAAAAUUACUUCAAAUAUGUGAAUAUGUCUGAAUGUCACUGGCUGUUCUACACCGAAAAAUGAUUGAUAAGGGAAGUAUUUCUGUUCCAACAAUUCUACUUAAAUGGAAGACUUUACCUCCUAAGUACGGCACUUGGAAUUUUGCUGCUAAUGCUGAUGUGUUUGUGGUCAUAAGUGAUCAACCGGACAAGAUAAAAGAAUAUGAAGCUCAAGACGUAAAAUGCAAGGAAUUGACAUACACUAUACAGGAAAAGUCUCUAGAAGAUGAAGGCAUGGACUUUCAAGUUAAUUCAUGGUACUUGGAUAAUGCUAGUUGGAACCAAUCAUGGGAGUUUCCCUCGUGACAUUCUUAUUAUUUACCUGAGAUUUGUAAAAUGGAGGAUCUAGAAAUUAUUCGGCAAGCUACUGCAUUUCUUCAAUGGGAUCCAGGAGGGUGGUCUCUUGUUCAGAGGUGGAGGAGACUGAUGUAGGAGAGUUUUCUUAGUAAUUUAGUAGUAUUUUAUUUUAGCCAAAUCUUAGUAAUUUUCUAGAACUUUCUAGUAUUAUUUUGUUUUGUUUUAUUUCGGCCUACGGGUUUAUUAUUUCUUUUGCUAUUUAAAUACAACAAGGGUAUUUUUUACAUUUUCAUCAAAUCAUAAAAAACAAGGGUAUUUUUUACAUUUUCAUCAAAUCCUAAAAAGUUUAGCUUCUCUCUUCCUUCUUUCAUUCUUACGCAAAACGGUGUUUAUCUGCAAAAUGCAAAACGUAUCUUCUCUCUGCUUUUCUGCUGUUCUGUGAAACUUCUUCACCUCUGCUGUAAAUCUUCCUCUACUUUGUCGUGUUUGCUCUGUUAUCCUGUUAUUUUUUUGUUUAACAAUCUCAAACUCUGUCCUAUUACUUUUUUGUUCUAGUUUUCUUUGUAAUUAUUGAUUCCAAACCCCAUUCUACUCUCUUUGUUUCUGUUUGUAGUUUGUACAAACAAUCCUCUGUUUUGUUUAUAUAAAACUCUAUUCUGCUCUCUAUGAAAUAGCGGUCAUUGCGCUAUGCGUUAUCCCGCUAUAGCAUUUUUGGGGUCGCACGCUACGCGCUGCUAUCCGCUAUUAACUACUAUGAUUUACGGUACUAUUAAAUUUUAUAUAGGCAUAAUUCAUCCACAUAAUUUGAUAACAGGAAAUCGACAUCUGAUAUUCGUUGAUUUCUUAUAGAACCAUCUUAACUAUAGCAACUGUUAAGGGAAAUAUUGUUGUGUGGAUUCAAGAGGACAUUCUAAAAUUUAAGAAUUCUCAUUUUACAAGGUUGAUGUUGAUGGAAAAGGUUGAUGUUGAUUUUGUGCCAUAACCUCUCAGCUAAUAGAACAACCUUGGUCUCUUAAAUACUUGGAAAGUAAUAUAAUUUUUUUUAUAAAUAGAUAUUAUUGUACCAUAUUAAGCAAGUUGCAAAGAGGGAAAAGAUUAAUCUUAACAUAUAUACAGAAGUCAUAUACAUUUGUAAGCACGUUGAAUAAAUUAUCAUAUAGUUGACAUUGUCACCUUAAACUUGAAAUUUUACAAUACAAUUUGAAUGAAGUUUUAAUCUUUUUUUACAAAGUCAACAAUGAGCUGAGAGGCUAGCCCAGUGAUGUUAGUUGUUGCAGCUGCGUACACUAUAAUGAAAGAAUAUUUUAGUAAAGUUUGUAACCAAUGAUUCUUUUUAUUCUUUACUGCAUUCCCAACCAUAAUACCCUCUUGCACACCAUGCCUCUCAUCAUUUAUCUUCUUCACUAUAACUGCAUCAAAUACACUUGAAAGAAUGCUCGUAUAAUACUCAAAUUGUUCUUGUUCCGCAACCACGUUAACAUCGAGCCACAUGAAGACCAAAUCAAUUGCUUUAUUGAUCUUUUCCUUUUCUUUUGACGAAAGCAUCAAACUAAUGUCCUUAUCAUUUAUCGCAUUCCUCAUGUUGUAUGCAUACUUCUCUAAUACAUCUCUCGCUUCUAGCUUCUUCAUAUACCUCUUGUCUUCAUCUUUGUACUUCUCAGCUUCUUUGAUCAUCCUCUCAAUUUCCUCCUUUGACAAUCUUCCCUUAUCACUUAUUAUUUUAACCUUAUUAUUAACUCCAAGGAAUUUCUCCCUGCUACAGAUGUGUAAGAUGCCAUCGUCAUCGAUUUGGAAGCGGAUUAUGAUCUGAGGAACACCUGCCGCAGCAGGAGGAAUUUCCAACACAAAUCUUCCUAGCAAGUUGUUGUCCCUAGUUAUUUUCCUCUCACCUUCAUAAACAUCAAUUAGAAUAUUCAUUUGGUUGUGCAAAUGUGUGGUGAAUACAUGUUCCAUUUUGGCAGGAAUUUUGGUAUUCCUAGGGAUUAUUAUUUCCAUAAUCCCCCCAUGUUUCUCCAAUCCAAGGGACAAAGGAAUGACCUCCGACAAUAGUAAAUCUUGAACCUUCUCACUAAACUCACCACUCAAUAUAGAAGCAUGGACAGCAGCGCCAUAUGCCACCGCCUCAUCGACAUUGAUGCUUUUGCAUAAAAGCUUCCCCCCGAAGAAAUCACUCACCAUUUGUUGCACUUUUACAAUCCUAGUAGAGCCGCCAACAAGGACAACAUCAUGAAUGCUACUCUUGUCCAUCCCACUAUCAAUUAUACACUUUUCCACAAUCUCCAUGCACUUGUCGAAGUGAUUCUUGUUGAGUUCCUCAAACUUUGCGCGACUAAUCGAUGAGUAGAAAUCUAUACCUUGAUUUAAACUCCCUAUCUCAAUGGUGGUCGUAGUAUUGGAAGAAAGUAUCCUUUUUGCUUUCUCGCAAGCAGACUUCAACCUCCUAAGGGCUCUUGGAUCUCCACUAAUGUCGAUUUUAUACUUCCUCGAGAACUCUUUCACAAAAUGGUUCACCAUUGUAUUAUCAAAGUCUUGUCCCCCAAGGUGAGUGUCUCCUGCAAUCGCCUUAACAUUGAUAGCACCGUUCUCAAAUGUGAGAAUGGACACGUCCAGAGUACCACCACCUAAAUCAAAAAUGAAAACAUGUCUACAUCCAUGAUUAAAAGGUUUCAUGUCAAGACCAUAUGCAAUUGCAGCUGCAGAAGGCUCAUUGAUUAUUCGCAUAACAUUGAGGCCAGCAAUAACACCCGCAUCUCGAGUGGACUGGCGUUGUGAGUCAUUAAAGUAAGCAGGCACAGUUAUAACAACAUCCUUCACUGUUGAUCCAAGGUAAGCUUCAGCUAUCUCGGCCAUUUUUGCCAAUACCAUCGAUGAGAUUUCUUCAGCAGCAAAAUGCUUUUCCUCGUCAUUAUAGUUAACAACAAUCAUGGGUUUGUCAUUGAGGUCGCCAAUUACUUUGAAGGGCCACGACUUCAUAUCACUUUGUACGAUUGAGUCGCAAAACUUCCUACCAAUUAGCCUCUUUGCAUCUACAAAACAAACAAAAGAAUUGAGUACACUAUGAGAAAAAAUGAUGUACCAUUUUCAUUGCAUUUGAAUAAAUCUGUAUGUAUAAAUAGGAUAACUCUAAUAUAUCUUGAAUAUGAAAAAUUGUUAUAUAUUAAUUAUGAAUCAAAUUACACUGAUGUAACAUGUAUCGUUAUAUCACUAAAUAACUUUUUAUUGGAUAUUUUCAUUACAAAAUUCAUAGCUAGAUUAAAAAUUAUUUUGCAUAUAAUACAUCUAUAAAAUCAUUUGAUAUAUAAUAUACAGUUGAUUUAAAAUUAUUUCCAUAUCAAAUUCAGUUGGUUCCAAACCCAGCUUGCAUCCAAAAGAGUUAAUAUAUGUUUACCUCAUGUAAUAUUAGCGGUUUCUGAUUACACCCUAUAAAAAAAUUUGAUUCCAACUCUGUAAUUUGAAGAUUGUUUGGAUUUAGACUUUCAUGAAUUUUGACCGUACAAAAUCGAUAAAAUGACAUACAUAAACAAAAAUUCGUUCAAAAUACAGAGUGUGAAAGUACCUUAAAUAUUGAAAUUUGAUGUCAUAAAAUAAAACACUAAAGAAUCUUCAAAUAACAGAGUUGAAAUCUAAAAAAGAAACUUUACAGAAGUUAAACCGAAAACCGUUAAUAUUACAUAGGGUAAACAUAUAUUAACCCUAUCGAAAAUAAGAAUUUUAACUAAAAAUAUAAUAUACAUAGGAUAAGUUUCAUGCAUUAAAAUAUCAUAUAUAGUUUGCUCAUCAAACACUAAAAUCAAGGAAAAACAUGAUAGUUUAUCCUAUCAUGUAUCAGUUUAUUCUAAAUAAAAUCAAGAGUAAUUGAGUUUAGAAGCUUUUACCGAAAACAGUGUUGGUUGGGUUGGAUGCAGCCAUAUUGAAAGCAGAAUCACCAAUCAUUCUUUCAGAGUCAGUGAAGGCAACAUAAGAAGGUGUUGUUCUAUUCCCUUGGUCGUUCGGUAUGAUCUCUAUCCUAUCAUGCCUCCAUACAGCAACACAAGAAUAGGUUGUUCCUAGGUCGAUUCCUAUUGCAACUUUCUCACCUUUUACUGUCAUUUCUCUCUUGCAAGGUCACCCAGGUUUUGAGAACAAAUUGUUGUUUGUUUCGGCUAAUGUAUGUAUAAGGUUUUCUUUGAGGGCUUGGCUUAUAAAAAGAAGUACAAUAUGAACUUCUUUGUAAGUUUCGUUGCUGUUUCGGAUUAGUUUUCAUGAUUUUAAGGUUGGUGGUUAUAAUUUUCACAAAUAACUAGUGGAUAAUAAUUUGCUCAAAAACAAAACAACUAGUGGUGCAUAAUUUAAAACAACUAGAAGUCAAGCUGACACUUUCCUCGAAAGAAAAAAAAAAGUAGUCAAGUUGACACUAAAGCCAUCAAAAUUGAUUCAGUCAAAUUCUUAUAAACCGGAGUUUUGCUACUUGCAAGAGUGAAUAUUCUCCUUGGAUAGCAUAUUAAAUCCAUCUAUAUAGGCUGUAACCCUUAUUUGUAAAAUAAAAAGAAAAAAAAUUCAUUAGACGCCAAACUUGCAUUUCAAAAAUCCAUUUUGAUUUUGUGCCUUACCCUAAUAGAACAACCUUUCUUUCCCAUGGAAAAGGUUGGGAAUUCCGCCUUUAUUGCGAUAUGUCCCUAGUCGCUUAAAUGCGACAUUUGAGUUGUCUUGUGUUGGCUUUGAGGGGGUGGAUUUAGUCCCAUAUGGGUUGAAUUGGACUAAGUGUAUAGAAGAGGAGGCACUCCAUGCUUUACAAGCCGGUUUUGUCAAGAUGAGUUAGGCUACAAAUUUCUACGGUUCGCAAAUACUCCAGAGUCGGAAGAGCAUUUUUUUUGUAAAGUGUUUUCCCUAGUUAUUUUCCUCUCACCUUCAUAAACAUGAAUUAGAAUAUUCAUGUGGUUGUGCAAAUGUGUGGUGAAUACAUGUUCCAUUUUGGCAGGAAUUUUGGUAUUCCUAGGGAUUAUUGUGUUCAUAAUCCCCCCAUGAGUCUCCAAUCCAAGGGACAAAGGAAUGACCUCCGACAAUUGUAAAUCUUUCUCACUACACUCACCACUCAAUAUAGAAGCAUGGACAGCAGCGCCAUAUGCCACCGCCUCAUCGACAUUGAUGCUUUUGCAUAAAAGCUUCCCCCCGAAGAAAUCACUCACCAUUUGUUGCACUUUUACAAUCCUAGUAGAGCCACCAACAAGGACAACAUCAUGAAUGCUACUCUUGUCCAUCCCACUAUCAAUUAUACACUUUUCUACAAUCUCCAUGCACUUGUCGAAGUGAUUCUUGUUGAGUUCCUCAAACUUUGCGCGACUAAUCGAUGAGUAGAAAUCUAUACCUUGAUUUAAACUCUCUAUCUCAAUGGUGGUCGUAGUAUUGGAAGAAAUCUAUACCUUGAUUUAAACUCUCUAUCUCAAUUAUACACUUUUCUACAAUCUCCAUGCACUUGUCGAAGUCAUUCUUGUUGAGUUCCUCAAACUUUGCGCGACUAAUCGAUGAGUAGAAAUCUAAACCUUGAUUUAAACUCUCUAUCUCAAUGGUGGUCGUAGUAUUGGAAGAAAGUAUCCUUUUUGCUUUCUCGCAAGCAGACUUCUACCUCCUAAGGGCUCUUGGAUCUCCACUAAUGUCGAUUUUAUACUUCCUCGAGAACUCUUUCACAAAAUGGUUCACCAUUGUAUUAUCAAAGUCUUGUCCCCCAAGGUGAGUGUCUCCUGCAAUCGCCUUAACAUUGAUAGCACCAUUCUCAAAUGUGAGAAUGGACACAUCCAGAGUACCACCACCUAAAUAAAAAAUGAAAACAUUUCUACAUCCAUGAUUAAAAGGUUUCAUGUCAAGACCAUAUGCAAUUGCAGCUGCAGAAGGCUCAUUGAUUAUUCGCAAAACAUUGAGGCCAGCAAUAGCACCCGCAUCUCAAGUAGACUG
Molecule: long non-coding RNA, 68719 nt
Filed under: Medicago truncatula (barrel medic)
Lineage: Eukaryota; Viridiplantae; Streptophyta; Magnoliopsida; Fabales; Fabaceae
Source: RNAcentral